RNAcentral lists this long non-coding RNA (71840 nucleotides) under Solanum lycopersicum (tomato). RNAcentral describes it as "long non-coding RNA (SLYC_LNC001181)". The record is from RNAcentral. Lineage: Eukaryota; Viridiplantae; Streptophyta; Magnoliopsida; Solanales; Solanaceae.
UUUACCGUAGUUGUCGAACCUGUAAUGACAAUAGUGAAGAGUGAUUUCGUAAGUCAAAUAAUUGAAUGACUUUUCUGAGAUAAUUACUACCUGCGUUUAGUUUUUUCAAUAGUGGCAUUGAUAGCAAGUGCAGGGGCGCUAUCAGGUGAGUAAAGCUUCAAAGAAUUCUGAAGCUUCUUGAUUUGUUGCUUCUCCCUUUUAGCAAACUGUUUUGAAUCCUUGCAAGGUGUGAGACCUGAGAUGUCAGCAGAAGCUGGAAGAACGGGUGCUGACAAUAGAAUAGAAGACAAAGCAAGCGCGGCAGAGAAUGCCUUUAAUGAUGAAGAACUUUCCUCUGUUGAAUUAGAAACAGGGGUCUGGUUUGAAGAACACACAAUGGAUGAAGUUCUUUGUUUUGUGGUAAAUUGAGACCCAAAUUUAGAUGUUGAAAUGGGUUUUGAAAGGUUUGAAGGAAUAGUAAGAGACAUGGUAUUUUUUUUUUCUGUUUAUUUUUUCAAGAAAACAGAGGAAGAUUGGAGUGUGGAGAGUGAAAGGAUGUUUUUUUUAGGAUUUGUGGAAGAAAGGAUUGGUGAUCAAGAGAGAGGAUAAGGAGUUGAAAGGGAGCUUAGGUGGAGGGAUUUGAUUGGCUAAUAGAGUUGGAUUUUAUGAGUUUUGGGGAUUUUUUGAUCCAUCUGUGGAAGAGCAAGAACCAGGGAUUUAACAGAUACAUAUAUUAUGAUUUGGGUCAGGUACACUUUUGCCACACUAUUUUGGGAUAGUUUUUAAUUUUUGUCCCUCAGCGAUAAAUAAUUCUUUGCAAUGUAUAAGUUUAUUAUUUCGUAUCAGAAUAUCUCCGUACAUGACUUCAGUUUUUGAAUCUACUAGAUAUAAGUUCUAUUUAUUUGAAGAGCAGAAUUAAUAGAUCAAUCUAUUUGAAAGACAAAACGUACAAUUUUAUGGUUUUGAGAUAACAGGCCAUGCACUUCAUGGCAUAUUUCCAUAUGGAUUUAAAUGUAAACUAGUCCAACAGCUUCAAUGAGCCCGUGUGUUCGAAUGAAAUUUUGAAUUUGCAUAUCUAUGUGCACACCUUGAUCUCUAUGCUGGUAAAAUUAUGGUCAUGAAGAAGCAUACUGGAUUACGGAUUUAUGUUUCCAUUAUUGAGCCAAGUAGUUAGGUGAAUUGUAGGCCAUUAACACAUCAAGUUUUGACAUAAAUAAAAUUCUCUGAAUUUUCCAGUUCAUUAGAGUGGGGCAAGUUAUUGUCAUGUAAAAGCUCUCCAUGUAGCCAAUGUCAUCUUCAAUGAUACUUGUUUAUGCCAUAUUUUUUGUAUCCAUAGACCAUACUUGAUUCUUCUCUUCUUUCGUUUUACGACCUCUCAUGUGUUUUUUGGUGCUACCAUAUGCACUUUGGACUGUGGUUGGAAACUCCGCUUCUGUCAUAUCACACUGUAAAGUACCUCGUUAAGCAGGAUAUUUCGGUUUUGCACCAUCAGGUAAAUGACUACAGAGGACAAAGGGGCUCAAUUUUUGUUCAGUUGGCAUACUAGAGUGAUAUAUUCCCUUUCCAGGCUUACAUACAAUAUUUUCCUUAACAUAGAGGUUUAUCUCACACAGGACUCUCCAGCCGCGUGACAGACCUGAAUUAUGCACACCACUACUUGUAGAUCUGAUUACUUUUCAUGGAUCAUUCAUGGGAAAUAUUUUUGGGGUGGCAUUGAUAGUUGCGCAUAGAAACCUCUAUCUACUGUGAUACAAUAUUGAAAUGAACGACUCAACUUAUGAAAUCGUGAGAACAAUUUCCAAACAAAAAGAACAUUAAACAGCGAACUAGCCAUUAUCUAGCAACACAUGGUAUAGAGAAUUCACAAUCUUUCAUCGAUAUAAACAAGUGAAAGUAUAAUUCCACGAGUCUCCAACAAGAGAAAUUUAAACAAGGGUAAUCAAAAAUUAGACAUUAGGGUCAAUAAGGUCUCCGUUCAAGUACUCUCUGUAAGCAGCAACAGGCCAGAUGAAGCCUCUCCACACGAGUCUAUUAGCCAAUGGAACAUCGAUGAUGAUCUCCUUCAUUGUUGGUUUCUUUUCAUCUCUUACGGCAAUCAAGUAACUCCUUCCUACCCAUCCAAUCCAUCCAGCAAUGUACAAGAAGAGGAUCCCUGGAGUGAUGAACUCACCCCAGUGCCUCUGGUCACCACUCACUAUCAAAUGCGGUAGUCCAUCUGAUCCACACAACAGUCCUUGCUUUCCAUAGUUGUCAAACCUGCAAUGACAUUAGUUGAGUGACGUUCUGAUGAAUUAAACUUCUACUAACUCGAGUAUCAAAGGGUAUAUGUAUGUUCUAUUUUUGGAUGUUUCCUAGUCUAAUCUCAACGGCAUAUGCAAGGAAAAGUUGAACAAUCUGCUUUUCUUUGAUAAGCAAAUGUUAAUGUACAGUAUGCUUUCAUUCGUAAAAGAAUACUUUUAGCUCUUCUUCUACUCCUACUCCUAACAUGGGUUCGAACGAAUUCAGUAGCUUUUCCAUAGACCCUAUAUUUGUACUAUGUAUUUUAAUUUGUAAACCCCUAACAAAAUUGAUUAGAAUCCCAAAAUCUUAAUAUAAGUACUCUCUAUCUAGUACACAAUAAAAAAAUGAUCAACUAGGGAAAAUAGGCAAAUAAGAAGUAAAACUUUUUGAAAAUUGUGAAGAAAGAUACUGAAGGCAAACCUGCGUUUAGUUUUCUCAAUAGUGGCAUUGAUAGCAAGUGCAGGGGCGCUAUCAGGUGCAUAAAGUUUCAAAGAAUUUUGAAGCUUCUUGAUCUGUUGCUUCUCCCUUUUAGCAAACUGUUUUGAGUCCUUGCAAGGUGUAAGCCCAGAGAUGUCAGCAGAAGCUGGAAGAACUGGUGCUGACAAAAGAAUAGAAGACAAAGCAAGUGCUGCAGAGAAUGCCUUUAAUGAAGAAGAACUUUCCUCUGUUGAAUUAGAAACAGGGGUUUGGUUUGAACAACACACAAUGGCUGAAGUUCUUUGUUUUGUGGUAAAUUGAGACCCAAAUUUAGAUGUGGAAAUGGGUUUUGAAAGGCUUGUUGGAAUAGUUAGAGACAUGGUGUUCUUUCUAAGAGUAUUAUUUUUCAAGAAAAUGAUACAAAGAAGAAGAAGAAGGAAGAGAUGGUUUUUAGAAUUUGUGAGUGAUCAAGGGAGAGGAUAAGGAGCUGAAAAGGGAGCUUAGGUGGAGUGAUUUCAUUGGAUAACAAAAUUGGAUUUUGUGAGUUUCAGAGAUUUUAUGAAAUUUUUAUCUAUCUGUGGAACAACAACAACCACGGAUUACAGAUACUCAUAUUUUCGCGUGGCCACCACAUAGGUAAAGAGAACUCUUGAAUGAAUAAUUAUUAAUAAUAUAUAUAUUAAACAAACAUUUACUAUUUUACACGAUAAUUAAGAAAUUAUUAGUGAUAGUUUGAUCAACUUUGUAAUUAAGGGAUCAAUCACCAUGCUCUGAUGCCAAUGAAAGAUUUAAUAUUAAUUUUUUUUCCAUCAGAAUUCUUUCAAAUAUUAGAAAGAAGCCAUAUUAAUUGUAGGGGGAAAUGAGAAAAAAAUUAAUUAAAUUUAACCUAAUUUAGUAAGUAAUCAAGUAAUAUGAGAUAAUUAUUUUUAGUAAGACAACCAUCUAACAUACAAAAGAGAGAGUAUCUUUUAUCAAGUUUUUCAAAUAUAUAAAUUUUAUUUCGAGAUUCUGUUAACAAGUUUAAAUCUUGAAAGGUGGAAAAAAUAACAUAUAAUUGAAAUGGAGCGUAGUACUUUUUACCUUUUGUGAUUUUUAUACGUGAAUAUCUCAGAAGGACAUAUUUAGAACUACUAACAUUCAUAUAUACUUUCAUGUCCCAAUUUAUAUGAUUUAUUUUGUUUUUUAUUCAAUUUUAAAAAAGAAUGACACAUUUCUAUCUUUACUAACAAUUUAUUUUUAAAAUGCUCAUGUUAUCUUUAAAUAAAUAAUUUCUAGCUACAUAAAUAUAUUUGACUUAUUUUAAACCACAAAUUUCAAGUCUUUCUUCUUUUGUUUCUUAAAUUUUGUGUCAAAUUAAAUGAACUCAUAAAAAUUGAGACGAAAGGUUCUAGCGAUAUUUGGAGAGAGAGGCGAGAGGACAUACAAGUAAUUGGAAAGCAAAACCCAAUCUAAAAAAAGACUGCAAGACAUUUGCAUUAUAUAGUUAUUAAGAAAGUCAAAACAAGAAGUUCAGAACUAGUAGAGUUAAAGAAUAAUCAAAGAAAAAGUAGUUUAGGUUAAGCAGAAUUAAGUCAUAAAGACACUUUGUUCACAAAAAGGAGGUCAGCAGACAAGCAAUUAUCUCUAACAUAUUAUUACAAUAUGCAGAGUUGUUGGUCUCUAAAAGAAUCUGAUAUGCAAAUGAUCCUUGAAGAACUAAAAGAAACAAAUAAAUGGAACCAAAAAACAAAAAGUAUAGCAGAGUCAAAUGCCACAGAAUUUGAUCACUAAAAGAGUGGUGCUGUGUUCAAUUGCCUAUCACACUGAGAACGAAUGAGGUCAGAAAUGUUUGCUAGGAUGGUGGAGGAGGUAAGUUGCUUGACUUGUUGGGGCGCGGAACUUGUUCAGAUCGAUUAACAAGACUUAGGUUCUGUGACUUUGAGAUCAUGCUGACCAUAGAUGGAGUUUCAUACAUGGUGGCGCCACUAUUGCUUGAGCUACCACCUUGCAGUAAUAUUUGUGAUGUCGUGUCUCCUCUAGUUGUCGCUCUUUGCCAAGAAUGUGAGCUCAAACCUGAGAGGACGUAAGCUCGUCCAGUUUGUUCAUAGCGCUCCCUGCUUACCAUCCUCUCUCUGACUUCAGUCAGUUCCGUCUCAAGCCAGCUACAGAGAGCAUCGCCUGCUUGAGCAGAUACAGAAGACAGAAGGGUCGCUCUUCGGUUAGUUAGCGCGGCUUGAGCAGCCUCAAGAUUUCCCAUUUCUGCCAAUCGUUGUGCCUCUGCAAUGGUUUCUGCUACUGCCAGCCUGUUUAUCUGCCUAUCAACCUCUCGACUUAUUACCACAUCUGUAGGAGACAGCACUGGUGGCCGACGUAUCUCAACUGUUUCACCCUCCACACUGACCAUUUCUUCCGAUAUGGUAUUCUUGUAACUACAUGUAAUUUGCAACAGAGAUGUCUUUGUUGCGCCUUGCUCAAUUUCAGCUGAGGGAACAGACAAGUAGACAAGGAAUUCUUUUUCCUCAUCUGCAUACAGGUUCCCAAUGUUUAUUACCCCUUGCUUUCCCUGUUCAGAAAUUUCACUAGCAUAUCUUCCUGAAGGGAUGGAUCCAAUUUCUACUCCACGUGAUGCUGACCGAACAGUAAGCUUGAGUUCCUGGACUACAACACUGAGGAGACCACCAAUACACAUUGCAAAGGCAUCUUGAACAGUACCAACAGUCUCAAUGAACGAAAAUGUACCACCCGAUGCAUCUGAGAUAGCAUGCAUAGCAGAGGAAUCAUGGUCUAAACCAAAUCCAAACGUAUGUACAUGGAAAGUUGGCUGCUGUCCUGCUGCUAGUCCUUCUCUAUUGCGAGGACAAAUGGAAGAAGGCAAUAGAUUCAGAAAGUCGGGACCUGAGGUUGCAUUAGAGGAUCUGCGGUUCCGAGGACUCCGCCGUUGGUUGGCGAUAUCACCGUUAAAGGUGUCUCUCCCAUCUGACAAGAGAAUAAUGCUUGCAACUGGGUUCCUUUCACGUCUUUCUUCAAGAACCCGAACCCCCUUCUUGAGUCCUUCCACGAUAUUUGUGCCACCAUUUGCUGAAAUGGCAUUGACAGCCUGUGCAGCCUCUCUACGCCCUUGUUCUGUCAUCCUUCGCAAGGGAAAGUUUCUUUGAGCUCCUGAUGAAAAGGUAACAAUAGAUAGCCGGUCAGAAGGACCCAAGUUAUCUAUGACAAAACAAACUGCUUGUUUCAAGAGAGUCAAUUUUGAUCCAGCCAUGCUGCCACUAAUAUCUAGAACUGUGACCAGGUCAAUAGGUGCUCGCUCUUGGUGCCGAACAUCAUCAGCAAGUGGAGGUGCCUUUACUCCAACAAGAACAGCAAAUCUUGACAUACUUCCAGAAGCAGCAACUGCAGAAUAUUCAGGAAAAGCUUUCAAGACAGCAGUCUCUGGAUGAACAGAGGAAGGGGAGGGGGUCUGAUCCACAGUGAUGCUUGGAAGAGGUUCAUCAUCAGAGAAGUGAAGGGGCUCAGGAAGGGGCAGAGAAACGGGUGGUGGAACACGAGGAAUGUUGUCAAGGAAAUUAUCUUCAAGUGGAGAGACACGAGUCCGCCCAGCAUUAUUAGUGUUUACAUCAGUACUGAAGGACGACAUGAGAGGGAUCUCUUUCCAUUUGCAUCUGCAGAUGGGGCAGAGAUAAUUUCCAUGCUUAACACUGUUGGCAAUGCAGCUGAAAUGGAAUGAGUGGGCGCAUUCAGCAGUGAAUAUGGCCUGACCAUUCCCUGCUUUCAUACUCCCAAGGCAAAUGGCACAUGUUCGCUACAGUCACAAUAAAAUAGAGUGGCAAGUUACAGUUAGAAUAUUGAAAUCAGUACAUAAAUAUGUAACAUGCUCAAUGAGGCAAAUACAUAAUCACAUGUGCUGAAUCACUUCUCAUUUAACUUAAGAAAAACUUUGACACUUUAAGUAUAUCCACUCCACCGAGCAAUUGCAACCUUUGCCACCAGUGUGACAUUCAUGGUUAAAACAGUAGAAAAUAUUUUCAAUAAUCAAAAAGCAUCUAGAGCCCUUGGGCACAUAUCAUUUCAAGUCACAAAAAAUGAGAACAUGGACUUCAUUGACUAACUAGUCAUUGUUAAAAUAAGCUAUUAGAGUCAUUGAUUAUAAGGUACCAAAACUUAAAGAAAUAUUGACUGAAAUAACAUAAAUUGUUUAAACAGUAAGGAUUUGUGAAUAAAAUGUACUUGAGGUCAUCUAGAAAAAAUUUGCCAAAACGAAGUACUGAUUAAAAACUACUGAAUUAUUAAUCUUAUGCAUUUCACAAACAUAAUUUAGUAGAAAACAGUAAGCAAAAGUUCGCUGUAUGGAACUCAUCACCUCUUUGUGAAAACAACCACUCGUGACUUUUCUAGGGAAUCAUUAUUCAAUGAUAACAUUGUAAAUAAAUCAAACAACUAUGGUCUUAAUCUCAAAUUACUUCAAGACAAGUAUUGAUGAUAACAGUUAUGUGCAUGCAAUACAAUUGCAUAGGGUUAGGAUGAGUUAAUUGAGAAAACAACUAUUAAUAAAUUGCGCAUUAAAAUGUAUAGACCACCAAGUCCAUAUGGAGUACGUUUACUAAUCCACAAACAACUAAACUAGCAAUAACCGUUUCAAAAUCUAUACAAACCAACAUACAAGUCCAAGUAACUUUGUUCAAGUAUAGCUCCAAAUCAAGGCCUAUUAAACUAGCAAAUUUACUUUUCAAUUAAAAAGAAAAAAGCCAAACAACCAUCCCAUGGACACAAUUUAUAUGACAAUCUUUCCUUUUAGACAGGUAUAGAGGAUUUAUGACUUAUUCAUGCCUUUCAUACUUAAAAUUCGUGGUUAAUCAAACGUGUUCACAUAAAUUGGGACAGACGCAAUAUAUAAGAAGCAAACACGUAAUGUAUAGGAAAAUAAUCUUCUUAUAGGUAGCAAAAGUCAAUUAUAGAUACGUUUAAGCUAUCAUCAAUUAUAAUACUAGAUUUCAGAAAUGGUCCAACGACAUGGACAGAACACAUAGCUGGCGUAGGAAGAUGUCAAAAAUAUCUUAACAAACAAUAAAAAAGAUCUCCAAUUUGUCAAAAGCUGAAAUCAUCAUAAUUCCCAGCUAACCCAUAGAUUAAAUUAUUAAAAUAAAAUUAUUAGCAAGUGUUAAACAUUCAUUAGUACUUUAAAAUUAAUAGUAGUUGUACACUAGGUGCCAUUUUUUUUUUAUUAAUAGUAGAAAAAGGUAUUUUUCAAAAAGUCAAAACUUUAGAAAAAAAGGCCCUGCACGGAAAGCCAAGAAAUGUAAUCUUUUUCAGCUUGUGAAAAUUACCUUUUUGACCUCCAGAAGAAGGCGUUGAUACCAAAGUAGAGGACAGUAUAGUAAUUUACACAUACAUUUCGUCAUCUAAAACCUUGUAAAGCUGAAUUUCCAUUAGUUUAAUCACUGAUUAAGAUCAAGCCAAACAAACGUGAUAAAUUAAAAAGUGAAUUUCCAAUAUUACCCUUGUUACAGAUCCCCAAAUAACGUGAGAAACCGUAAAUUUAGCAAAAACAGGUAGGUAUUUUCGUCCAGAAAAAUUCUCCUCCUAUUCCAUUUUUGGCAAACCAGAAAUUUCUGCUCACCGUUCGCGAUGGUAAGAUAACAGCUGUCAUCACCGGUGAUGAAAAUUGAAAACGCAACCGACUUCCGGUCCGGUCGAAUCACAUAGAUAGCAAACCAAACACGCCGGCGAAACCAAAAUCAAGAAAUUACAACCGAAAAAACAGAAAAAAAUUCCGAAAAGAAAACGAACCUUAGAGGAUCGGGAGGUACUACUGAAACUUCUGGAUAAACGGGAGAAAGUGGAUGAAGAUGCGGCGGAGGACGGCCGAGUAGACGGUGGCGAUUUGGCAUCGGAGGAUGCAUUUUCUGGAGGAGAUUUAGGUUGCCUAAAUGAAAGCGCUUUUUGGAGUUUGCUCCAUGAACCUGACAUUCUUUCUUUCAGCUCCUUCAACAGAAAGAGAGAGAGAGAGAGAGUAGAGAGAGAGGGGGAAUUGAUGUUAGGGUUUGGGUUUUGUAAAAUGGAAGAAAAAGUAACGAACGUGAAUUUGGAGAAGAAGAGAUGGAAGAGGAGAGGAAAAAAACAAGAAAAAUUUAAGAUUUUGAAAAUGAUUAAUAUAAUUUUAUCUCUUCUUAAAAAAAUAUAAAUGAAAAGGGCAAGUAUGAUUACGGGCUAAUUUCAUUUAAUUACUCCUUCCGUUUUAUUUUUCUUCAUCCUAUAAGUAAAAUAAAUAUUUUGUUUUACUUGUUAGCACAUCACAAAAGGUUUUUCCUUUUUUUUUUUUUCGUAUUACCUUUGGGUUCCCAUUAGAAUAUGAAUAUAAAAUCAUUACUUGAAAAAUAAAAUUUUGUUUUGACAUCAGUGUAAUUUAAAUUGUAUUUUUCUUCAAAAUAUAAAAUUUUAUGAUCUGUGAGAACUAUAAAAAAAUAAUUUAUCAAAGAAAGCAAAUCAUAAUUCACAAAUAUAUAUACAUAUAUAUAUAUGUGUGUGUUUUCUUUAAAUAAAUACAAUAAAUUUUAUAAAGAUGCAUCAGCCAAUAAUAUUACUAACAAAAUAUUUUUUUGGCAAAGGAUAUAAAUCACAUGUUUUUAAAGUAAAAUUAUUUUUCUUAUAAUUACAGAAAUUUCUUAAAUUAAUACAAUAAUAUAAACGCUGAUACAUUAAUUUGAUGCGCGAGAAAUAUUGAUCAUUAAGUAAAAUAAAUUACAUUUUAUACAUGUUACGCUACUAAUCUAAUGUACAUUUACAUGAACAGUAAUCUAAUACACGAGAAUAUUAAUUUGAUAUAAUCUGAUGCACAAAAAUAUAGAAUAUUAAAAAUUUGUAAGACUAAUAGGAAAUAAUCAAACCAUAUUUACUUUUUGGAGUAUUUAGAUUUCAAAGUGCACAUCCAAAUGCAUAUUUACAGUCUUGACUCUAUAUACAUAUAUAUUCAAACACAAUCUUAAUAUUAAAUGACUAUACAAAAUAAUUAUGACAAUCAAAUUUAAAUUUCUAAAAUAUUAAUCAAUAAGAUUAAUUUAAAAACAACCUUUACUUAAAAAUAUUUUUAAAAAUAUAUCAUAAAUCUAAGAGGUCAAAUAAUAUAUAGUAAUUUUUAUUCUUGAUUUGGUACCAUAAACGGAAGGUCUUUUCGUCUUAGCAUAAUUAUAAGUAUGGAAGAUUUAUAAAGAUUAACACUGCACGUUAUUAAGUGAGUAACAUUUUGAGCAAUAAAUAAAGUAAAAUAGGUGAAGAGGAAAGUGAUAUUGGGACAUUAAUUUCAUUUAUAGUAGUAAUAUCUUCAUUUUAUAAUAUUGGGACAUUAAUUUCAUUAGUUGACUUUUGUGCAUUUUACAAAUUGUGGUCACCCACUUAUUAAAAAACAUAAUUAAAAAUCUAAAACCAUGGUGUUAAAGUUAAGAUAAGAUCUCUACUAAUAAAUUCAACAUAUUUAUUUUAGUAUUUUUAAAAAAAAACAUAAUCAAAGUACUUCUAAUAUAAAAUAAAUAUUUGUAAAAAAAACAAGAGUAUUCCCGUAUACUUUAUGAAGUUAAAAUAGUACCAAUUCGCUUAUUUCAAUUUUACAUAUCUAGUGCAGUUUAUAUUAACUAAUUUCAACCUUAUAUUUCUAGUGCAAUUCAGAUUAACUUAUUUUAACCUUAUAUAUUUAGUACAAUUAGAUUAUUUAUUUUUAGUGUUUUUAAAUCUUAUGUAGUUUUUUUUAAAGGAGUUUGAAAAGAUUAUAAAGGGGUAAAACUUAUUCGCAUCGAGUGUGUACAUCAAUUCAUGUCAUGUGUUUAAAUAUGUUCAUUUUACUUAACUUUAAUUAAUUAGCAUAACAUGCAUUUUAUUUUAUUAAAUCGCAUAAAAAUGAAAAUUGAAAUAGUUUGAUACAAGCACAAGGUGCAGAUAAGUUUUUGCCCAUUGAUUUUCAGCACCGACUUUUAGCUAAAGAAGUUAAAAUAAGUCAAAAAUAGGACAUCAUCUAUUUUUGACUUUUAACAUUCGACUUAUAAAUUAUUUUUUAUAAGCUCAUUCAAGGGCCUUAAUAUAUGUUUAUUGUGCAAUUUACAUCAUAUUCUAUUUUUUCCUACAUGUGUGAUUUGCACCCUAACUUCUUCUCUUUUUUUUUUUGUCAUAACCAAACUAUCAAUCACCUAACUUUGUUUAGCUAAGAGAAUUUGCUUAGCCACAGAGAAAAUAUCGAAAGCUCCUUUCCUCAUCUAUAGUUGCUCAAAAUGGAUCGAUAACUUUAUAAUUCUUUAUUGUUUUACAAAAAAUUACAAAUCAUCAUAAAAAUAAAAUAAAAAAGGUAGGAUAAAGUGAAAAUCACAAAUUAAAACACACAUUAAGGGUGUGCAAAACGUCAUAUUCUCUAGCAUUAUUUAGAGUACUAGUCAAACAAAUUUCAUUUCUCGUAUAUUUAUUAUAUGAAUAGUUUUUUUUAUUCGUUCCUAAGAGAUUUUUAUGUUGCCUUAUUACUGAUUCGAACUAACAAUCUUGGAAUUAAAGGCGCAAAAUAUUUAUCACUUAAGCAACUCUCUCGCAUUAAUUUAAGAAAAUUGAUGUGCCUUUUAUUUAUUUUUCAAACUCGAAAGCGGCAACUCUUGAAGGUAUGAACAAGUUGAAGAUGUAGGGCUCAACACAAAAUGCCAGUUUCAUCACACGAGACUCUCGUGACAAAAGGAUGUUAAUAAUCAUUGAAUUCAUAAUACUUAUGUUUAUACAUUAUAUAGUAAAGUAAUUAUAAUAAUUAUAAUAAUAACUCACUUUUCAAACUCCUGUAAUACUUGAGAUCUACUAAUUUACUUAGUUGAUUAAUUGAAUGUUAAUGUGAUCAAAGUUAACCUAGGGAAGUUGUUACUUUUGGGCACUUUGAAGGCCUUUUAAUAAUGGGUAACAACUCUUUCAUUAAUCAAAGAAGUUAUGGGUUUUUGAGUCUUUUUGGUACGGAGUCGUCUUUGUUUGGAGCGGUUUAUCUCUUCAAGUGAGGCUUUCCAGCGCGAAUUUAAAUUUUAGUUAUGUUCUAAUGUGCAUAUCAAACGAAUGAAAACCCCAAAGAAAAUAGUUAGAACUCAUUCGGUAAUGGAGUAUUAUUCUUUUUUUUUUCAUAAUAUUUUCUUACUUUAUAUUUUAAAUUAGUAUUUCAUUAUAAAAAAAAUUCAAAUUCCGUUCAUUUUCAAAAAUUGAAAAUGAUUUAUAUCUUAUUUUCCAACUCUAUCUUCAAUUCAAGUUCAAAAAGUGCUCCAUUGUCUCUUUUUGCAAAUAUCACCGAACAUAACACAUCUUCACUCUUACCUCAUAAAUUUAAGAAAACGGUAAAAGGAAAAAUAUUUAAAACUUAUUAUCAAAAUCCUGCUAAAGAAUAAAUGCUUUUUAAUAACACAUAGUAUAUAUAGAGUAUAUACACCAUUAAAGAAUAAUAUCUUUUUACACAUGGAGAAUAAAUUGACUUAUUAGUUGUUAUCACUAUUUUGAAAAAAAAUAUUAUAUAUAUCCAAAGGAUGCUGAUAAAAAAUAUUAUUAUAAAUAUUAUAUUAUUAUUAUUAUUUAUUAUUAUUAUUAUUGUUAUUUUUUUAUUAUUAUUAUUAUUGUUGUUAUUGUUAUUUUAUUUAUUAUUAUUAUUAUUAUCCAAACACAUAACUUCUUAUUUUAAAAAUAAGUUUCAACACUUACAAAAUAUUUUUUAAAAGUUACUUUUUUUAAUCUCAUCCAAAACGGGCUCGAAGUCCAGUUUGUUCUUUGAAGUAAUGCAUUACAACUAUACUCCAUAUUUUAAAAGGAGUAUAUAUAUUAUCUACAUCAUGUAAGUAAUUUUUACAUCAAAAAAUCACGUUAUAAAUUCCACUUGUUAAUGAGACUUAUUAUACAUAUAUUCUUUGAUUUAUUACAUAAGUUUAAAAUAUUUAUGUUGACGAUGUAUAUAAAUUAAAUCAAAAAGAGAAACAAGAUAAAACAAAAAUGACUAGCUACUUCAAAUAAUAGUACAAUUAAGAGACACAAAGAAAUUACCAAAGGUCAAAUCAUAUUUCAUUUCCUUAGACAUUAUAACUGGCAAUUAAAAGGGUUUGUUGAUGGAAUUAGAAUCCAAAAUACAACUACUACUAUAUCCUAGCUUCCAAUGUGUCCUCGAUAGCCAGAUUAAAUUCGGAUUCACACUCACUUAUCUAUCAACCUCUAAAUAUUACUAGUAGAAAAGUUGGUUAUAAGAAUAAUCAACUACAUUGAGAAGGAAUUUGUGGUCCAUUAAAUUUCAUAUUUGCAUUUUCACAAGUUGCAGAUGUACUCUGUUGGCCAUCCAAAGUUAAUUGCAAACCCCUUAGCUCAAUCCCUUGACAUGGUACACUUUUGCUACAAUCAAACACUACUGCCUCUUUUGAUGCUGAAGUUCCUUUUACAUUUAUGAAUUUUACAUCUGAAAUCUGCACUUGUGAUUCGCCCUGUAUACAAAUAUAUAUAAUUAAUAUACAAACAAAAAAAAAUGCAUUUUACCAGCAAUAAAUGUUCAAAUGCUUAGGUUUUUAACCACUAGCUAUCUAUACAUUUGAUAAAGUAUAUUUUUAAAUCUUUCUAUAACAAAGUCGUUUUGUAUUUUAUUUUGAUGAAGUGAAACAAAAAGGAGAGUUCAUUUUGGGCAAAGUUUUCAUUUUUAUCUAUUUAGGAAUGUGAUGCUCAAAAAAGUGUUCAUUUUGGGGUCUGAUUCGGAUAAAAUAUAUAAUAUAACAUAACAUAAUAUGAAAGUUAUUUUUUUUUAAGAAAAAAAAACUUUGAUUGUUAUAGAAUCUAUAUAUAAAACUUGUUUGUUAUUGAAAGUUCUAGUGAUCACGUAGCAAUAUUUGACUAGACGAUACAAAAGAGAGAAAAGAAAUUAUUUUUAAAGUUUAUAAUGUAAAACAAGUUGUAAAUAUCUAUGUGGUAGUAGAUCUUCUCAAUAAGAAUAAAAUGAUGAGUUAAAUAAAAUUUGAAAAAUGAAAACGUGUCACAUAAAUUACGUACCUGACUUUUACAAGAAGAGUGAGGACAAUAGUGUUGAUCAAUGAUGAUAGGAUUUUCAACAUAAUUCACAUUAAUAUCAACAAAAGUGACAUUGAAAACUUUGCUAGGAGGUGAAGGUGCCCAACUCUUUAUCCUUAGACCAUUUUGAGUUUUCCCAAUAUUACAAUUUGUCACAAUAACUCCAUUCACAUCACCUUCAUUUUGGUAUUUUCCUAAACUUCCAAUGCUAAUGCCAUGUCCAGGCCCACAAUUAACCUCAGAAAUAUGAACAUUAGAAGUACCAGGCCCAAUUGAAACACAAUCAUCUCCUGUUGAAAUAUUUACUUUGUUAAUAAUUAUAUCGUUGGAGCCGCCUAUAUGAAUCCCGUCAGUAUUUGGGCUUUCGCCUGGCGCUAUUAUGGUCAUGUUCUGAAAAUGAACUCCUUGGCUUUUAUUAAUUUGGAAGUGGAAGAACUUGCUGUUGAUUGAUGUUAUGCCUUGUAGAAAACCAUUGCUUAUGCUGUUGAAUUUUAUCGACUGUUUAUAAUAUACAAGAAAAUAAAAUGUCAUUAGUCCAUGAUACAAUGUUAUAAAAACCAUUAGUUAAUAGCAACUAUACAAAUGUUUUGAUUGAAACACAAGGAAAAAAAAUUGUAUUUCAAUGAGAAUUUGUUUACCACCCUACAUUUUCUCAUUGAAAAUCAUAUAUUAUAGCAUAAAAUUUACAUUGAUUCACAACGGAAAAUUUUUAUGUUUCUAGUAAUGACUAUAAUAGUAAUUCCAUUAGUUACAUUUGAAAUCUCUAUUUAAUUCCAAUAUUAAGAUAUUAUAAUUUUUUUAUAUAAAAUAUUACAACUCACUAUCUUUUGGAAAAUUUUGUCAAAAAAAAUAUGUACAUAGUGAAUAGGUAGUAUAUACUUAAAUACAUAAUUAUAAAAAUAUAGUAUACAUACUAUAUACACAUAUAUACAGCAUAUACAAUUAAAGUAUAUAGAUAAUGUAUACUUCAGUCGUGUUGAUAAACUAGACGGAGGAGGUUAUAUUUUUCUCCCUUUUUAAUCUUUUUAUUUGUGAUUUUAUUUUUGUAUUUAGUACGCAAAAUAAACAAUUAGAAGGGAAGAAAAUAUUUAAUAUGCAAUAAAAAUAUUAUUUUUUUUACCGAAGGAGGAUUUGGGCCGUUAUCAUUAUACAUGGACCAUGCAGAUGGGCCUUGACCAUCUAACGAACCUUGUCCAUUAAUAGUCAGCCCAUCAAUAUGUUCAAAUAAUAUCCAAUAAUCAUCUUUGACUUUCCCCAAAGGAGCUUUUAAAAGUCCGUUAAUGUUAAAAAACAUUGGGCCUUUGCAUGGCCCAUUAAAUGUUAAUGUAUUCAACAAAAAAGUUCCUAUUGGAAUAAGGACUGUGCCUCCUCCAUUGUUUUGACAUGCUUGGCCCCAUGCCUUCAAAAAUGCCUACAAAGAAACAAAAAGACUUGAGAAAUAACGAUAACAAUAAUCGACGGAUGUAUAAUAUAUGUAUAAUGAGUGUAUAUUCUAUGUAUAUUAACAAGAAAAGGUAAAAAGUGAGGAGACAUAUACAUUGAAAGAAGUUAUUUAUCUACGCAAUGUAAUUAUUCACCAAAAAUGAAUCGAUAACUAUUUUGUGGACAAUGGUAAUUUUACCACUCUAUACAUUAUUAGUAUAUUGUAACAUGUUAUAGCAGUUUGUCUGUCAUAUUUUUCUAGAUUACUAAUUUCGACGAUUGCGAUUUUACCUGACUACUAUCAGUCUUCCCAUUAGGACUAGCACCAAAAUCUUGAACAUUAAACACUGAACCAUUACCAUGAACUUGAGAAACCUUAAUGAUUAUCAAGAAAAUGACAAACAAAGAAAGGAAAUGAAAGAAAAAAUGGGAAGAAGUCAUUUUUUGUAUUGUUUGAUUUUGUGUUUUCUUUCAAGACUUGUGGAAGAUGAUAAUUUUUAAGUUGAGUUCUUACAAAUGAUUUAUUUGAAGUAUUUAUUUAGUGAAAUUUUUAUAGUCGAAAAUGGAAACAAAACAAAUUAAAUCCCAAUUUUAACGUGAGGAUCAAUCGAAUUAUAAUGAGGUAUCUCACUUUCCAUUUUAUAAUAUGUAAUUAAGUUAUAUGGAUCAACUUAACGAUUUUUACGUUAUACUUUACUUAGUUUAACAAGUAAUAAUAUGUUAAUUGUACCAUUUUAAGUAGUCAUUAUUUAAUACUUAAUUAUAUAGUUUUACCUAUAAUUACCUCAAAGGUAACUUAAUUGUAUGAAUAUAUUUUCCAUAUUACCUUGAUCGAUAUUAAUCAAUAUCUAGUUUAGUAGUAUUUUCAAUGCAUAAUAUUAGUUAUAAAUCUUUUUUAAGUAUUAUAUGGUGUAAAACUAAACAUAGCACCUCAUGGUAUUAGAAUUACCAUGUUUUUUAUUUAGUAAUAGAUGAAUAAAUAUGAUUAAAGACAGAAUUAUGCUUGAAUACAUUAAAUUAAACACCGGAUAAGAAAUAAUUUAAGUAUAAUUAAUCUCAUCAUAAAUAAUAUUAAAAUUACCAGUUUCAAUAUGACAAAUUUAAUAUUUUUCUUACACACUAUAUCAAUCGAGUUGCUUUACUAAAUUAGGUAAAAUAAUGUAUGGUAUAAAUAGUUCUUUAGAUUAUAUCAAUCCUAAAUCAUUUUUUUUAAUCACAAUAAUAUUACUCUAAAUAACAUGUUGAUAUUUUUAUACCAUAUAAUUGAUUUUUAUCAUCACAAAAUUGCUUAACGUAUAUUCUAUUAUUUAUAGGAAAUAUGGAGUAUAUAACUUCCAAUAAACUAAAAGUAUUGUAUAGUGUUGAACUAUAUGAUAGAGAUUGCUUUACCUUUUCUUCUUCUUUUAAAAAUCUUUAAUGGGAAUCGUAUAAUCGAUUAAAUCAGUUUUCUAAAAUAAUAAAUAGACAAAAAAUUAAUUUGCAAAACAUUACGCCAAGACUCAAGGGUAAUUGCGUUAAAUCGAACCGCAAUCCAAAUUAAAUCGGUUAAAGAAUUGAUAUUUUAUGGUGUGAUUUUGAUUUUAUUUUUUAAAAACCAUAAAAAAAAAUUAUAUAUAAAUAUAUCAAUUAUUAUGUUAUUUUAUUAAAAAUUUUAAUUAACUUACCCUUUUUUUAAAAAAAUUGCUGCGUCUUUUUUCAAAUACUUCUUUAGUAUUUAGAAUUGACAACAUAUAAAUUGCACUCCCUCUAAUGAGAGAGGCAAUAGUGUUUUUUUUUUAAAAAAAAAAAUUGAAGAAACAAUUGUAAAUACAUGAAUAAUUAUAAAAAUUAAAAAAUUGAACAUUCACUAUUGAAGAAACAAUUGUAAAUACAUGAAUAAUUAUAAAAAUUAAAAAAUUGAACAUUCACUAUUGAAGUUCACUCAAUUUGACAUUUCGUAUUCAAAAUUAUUGUCACAUAAAUAAAUAUAAAGUAAUAUAAGAGGGAGUUUGCACUCAAUUGAUACAAUUUCAUUACCAAAAUAUGAUCAAAACAUACUUUAAUCACCGAUUCGUAAUACAACUUUAACAACAACAACAAUAAUUAACAACAUACUCAGUAUAGGUCAUCUCCACUGACUCUCACAAUUGAAAUUCAAAAAAAUAAAGAAUAUACGAGAAUCUUAACAAAAAAAAUAUAUAUCAUUCACACUAUUCAUGUUUGCACAAGUAGAAUGAAUCCACCCCCAAUGUUACACAUUUGAAGUAUUGUCUUGCAGUUUGAAUUCAUGAGUUGAAGAAAGAGGUGCACCAGGUGGUGGGGUGGGUACCCCAAAGACUUGGGGAUUGGUUUUGAUAUCUUGUCUACCUUUAGCUCUUCCAAAGAAAAAACAUCCAAAUCCAAUAAGAAUUGUGAAAAGUAUAAAUGGAAGAGAAAUAACAACCACCAUACCCAUAUCUCUUAUUAUCCUAAUUUCUUUGCUUUGCUAUGCUUUUAAUAAAUAAAUGGAGUAUGUAGAGAAUAUUGUUUUUUAUAGGUGGGAUUGUAACGUUAGGCAUAACGUUCUACUUUUCUAACGGCUACUUUUUUCUUUAGUUUUUUUUUAAAAAAAACAUGGAAUAUAUGUUUGAUUGGUGGGUCAAGGGUAGGGAUGGAAAUGAGGUGGCGCGGACGCGGGAUGGGGUGAGUUUAAGGUUGAGUGGGGUGGGAGGGACGCGGAGUGGUUUUUUUAAAAAAAAAUAAUGUAGGGCGGAAUGGGAUGGGUUGCAGGUUAGGGUAUGUGUGUUUUUACGUGAGUUCGUAUUUUAUUUUAACUCUGUACAUGUUAUUAUUGUGAUAGAGCAUUAUUUCUUAAGAUGAUUUCUUUAAAGCUAUAGUAAAUGAAAAUGGUUUAAUAAAAAAUAAUUCAAUCUUUUACAUGUUUCUAAUUGACCUCUAAAAAUAAAUUUCUAAGUCAUUGUCCUUUAAAUUAAUACAAUUUAAUUAAAAAAUGAAUUCAUUUUUAGUAUCAAACUUAACUAGAAAAAAAUAUUUAAAAAAUUAUGGGGGCCGCUCUAUGCGGUCAGGUUGGGACGGGUUGAAAACGAAAAAGAUUGUUAUGUGCGGUGAAGCGGGUUGAAAAUGAAAAAAUUAUUAGGUGGGGUGAGGCAUGGCGGGGUAGGUUGAAAAUGAAAAAAGUUGUUAUGUGGAUGAAGUAAAUAAAAAAAUUUGCGGGUUAAGCUAAACUGGUCCCGUAUAACCAUCCCUAGUUAAGGGUCUCAUUCAAUAGUCAUUUGAGAGGAUGUAUAGGAACAAUAUUAAAUAGAAUGUAUUAAUAAUACUCGUAUUAAUAUAUACAAAUUAUUUUUUAUUCAUUAUUUAGUUUUACAUAUUAAAAUAGACGACAUUUCAUAAUUUGUGACUGCUUGAGCAGACUAGUCUACGCUCAGAGCAAUAUUCUGAACUUGUCUCGAUACUGACAGUUCACGGGAUAGCACAGAAAGAAAGGAAAAGAAGUAAUUUCAAAGAAAUAUUUGUUUAAAACCUUUCACAACCAUUGCGAAAAAGAUGUAAAAAAUAUUUUGAGGGUCAAUUGACUUUUUAAUCAUGCUAAUGCAUUAAAUCCCUCUUGUAUUACUAAUAUAAUUUGUCUUUUACCAUUAUCCUGUAUUAGUUUUACGAAUUUCUAAAAUUCCUCAUUUUCACGCAUCAGAUUAAUAAAUCAGCGCUUUAAAUUAAUAUAUCUCACGCAUCAGAUUAGUGUAUCACGUAUAAAAUGUACAUUAGAUUAGUGUAUCAUCUAUAAAAUAUAAUAUAUCUUACUUAACGAUUAAUGUAUCUCGCACAUCAAAUUAAUAUAUCCGCGCUUAUAUUAUUGUAUGAGUUUGAGAAAUUUUUAUAAUUAUAAACUUAUAAGUGACAAAUUGUAAUUUUACCUUAAAAGUAUGUGAUUUUUGUCCUUUGUCCAAAAAAAUUUAUACCCGACAAAGUAUCGUUUAUACACAAAACUAAUGUAUACCUUAUUUCUUAUAAUUCAUUAUUUAUUCAUGUUAUGUUGAGGUUCAUUUGGCCAUAAAUAUAUAUUACUUUUUUCGAAAUUAAAUUUCAAAAAUCAUGUUUAGCUAUAAAAUUUCGAAAAAUAUCAUAAUUUGUAAUUAUGACUAAACACAACUUCCUGCAUCUUAAUUCUUUUCAAAUUUCAUGAGGCAGAAAUGUCUUGAAAAAAAAAAAGCAGUAUGUAUAUAUAAAGAAAUGAAACUUGAGAGUUUUGAACUGCACUAGCCAUUAUUAUUUGAAACAUUUUUUGAAUUUGGAACAGGCAAGCAGACCUUACUACUAGUAAAAUACUUGUUCAAUGUAGCUGCUUAUUUAAAAGGCGAAAAUUCAUACUAGAAACCAACUAAACAGACGAUCAUAAAAAAUAAAAAAAAAAAAAAAAAGUCAUAGAAAUUCUACUAUUCUUCGGAAUCAAUUUGCUUCAGGAGUCUCUUGUUCAGCUUUCUCUUGCUCAGCUUCCUGCACUUCCUUCUCUGUCUUCCUUCCUUUCUUCGAUUUAUAGUACACACUCAUGAACGUUCCGAUAGCUUUGUACUUCCUUCUGCAUUGCUCGUACAGACCGUUAUCAAACAUCCUCCAGAAAUUCUUCUCUGUCAGCUCAGUCACCGCGUAUUGAGCCUGAAAUCCAUGGUUCUCUAUCAACCAAAGCUCAAGUUGUCGGCAUUUCUCUGAACCAUCAAACGGCUCACCCCUCAGGACUGCUCCCGGAACAUAGUACACACCAACAUCAGUAUACAUUUGUGCAUAUUCGGUGUCACCCUGCCUUUUGUGUUUCUCGAAUCCUGGUUCAGGGUAGAUCAUUGGUCUCACUGGCAGCUUGUAAAUUCUGUGUGGGCACAGCCAAAUUGGAUAUACCUAAACAAAUACAAUUCGUAUGUACCAAAAUGUGCUUUAGUUAAAGGAAUUGCCAAAAACCAAAAAAACCGGACUAAAAGACGAACAAAUUUUUACCUCCAUCUCGCGAUGAACCCACUCGAGACAAUCACCGACCUUGUAAAGAGGAACAAGGAGAUCUUGAAUGACAUGAUGGUCAUGGUAAUAGUUUCUAAUAGCCUCACUUUGUGUGGCUUUGAGCAGAGCAAUCUUUGGUGGCAUGAGCCAUCCUAAGAGGAACCUAAACCAGAACUGAUCACCGAAUGGAAGAAUUAGUUUACCUUCCCAAUACAACGAUCUCGUGUGUCUGUGGUAGUAGUCCCUAGUUGGAAUGUACUCAACAAAUUCCCCUCUUUUUAGUGCGGUUUGAGCGUGUUGGUAAAACCAUGGUUUGAACCACCAACCGUAAUUGUUGAUUACAUUACCCCUUCGUUUGGCUUCAUUCCUCGAAGCAUACAUACCGGUCAUCAUAACCCCUUCGGUUGGACCAUAAAUCAUGCCUUCUACCAUCUCAGGAACUUUAGAAGGAUUGUCCUGAUCUCCAUCUUUAGGUGCAAAAGAAUCCGCGUAAGCCUGAGCAAGCUCUUUAAGAUUACCCCUUACAGGUUUGUAGGUAAGUUUCACGUAUUGAUCAACUGGUAUAAGCUUGAUUUCAGCUGAAACAAGAAGCCCCAAUGUUCCUUGAGACCACGGAAUAGCGUAGAAAAGAUCAGAAUAUUCGUUGUCCUUUGUAGCUCUAACAACCUUUCCAUCAGCUAGAACAACCUCAAGUGCUACAACAGUGUCAGAGAACAACCCAAAUAUGUGAGAACUUCCUUCAACCCCGAACCCAUUGAUCAAACCACCAACGGUAAGAUCAUCGAGCUCAGCGAGAACUGCAAGGGAAAGAUUCAUUGGGAUAGUGACCCUUGACAUUUGGCCCAUAUUGACUAGAGGCUCAACUUUAGCAACCAUCCGCUCCGUGUCAAUAUCAAGUAUAUUUCUAAACUUUGAAAGAUCAACUUCAAAAUGACGAGCACGUUUAUAGUCGACAUUUCUCAUUCCAACAACCACCCAAGGAGGUCUGGCUGUGCAUACAAGACCAUCCUUUUCUGCAUUCCUCUGGCCAAGACGCUUCACAACCUCUUUAACAUUCUCAUCGUGUUCCAUCUGGCGUUGCUUGUAAGAUUUCCUCUCGGAUUUCACAUCCCCUAGAUAUAUCGAGAAGUAAUACAAGAACGAGAAUGGAAGGACAAAAAAGAUGACAAUGAUCCAUCGGAACGAAAGAAGGAAGUCCACCAACUGGAUCUUCCUCUUAGGGUAAGCAGUGGCCACGGGGGCCUUAGCAUCCGACAUCUUGAAAACUUGAGGACAAACAACUGUUACAACGACGAAUCCAAGUUAAGAACCACAGCCAAGAAAUGUACUACUUAUCAUCAAUCACAUACCAAUUGAGCACUACUUAACAAACUUUAAGGCACAAAUAGCAUCAAUAUGAAACCUCUCCCAAAAACAUAAUGCUAUUGACAGUCAGAUUAACAACAACAGCAUCCCGCGAAAAACGCCAAGUUCAGUACAAUCUUGAAACUAAAAGUUGAAAUUUAUGCACCAUGGCCAUUUUCUUGUUACUAAUUAUCAUUGUAAAAUCAACUGAUGUAAAGGUAAAAUAGACUAAAUAUGGAGUUGAAUAUCUGAAUGGUCACUCAACUUAUACUAAUUAAUCGUUAAACAUCACUAAUCUAAGUUGUCUUCCAAAAAUCAUCUAAACUUUUUGACAAAUUUACCUCCAUAUUCACAAAAAAAAACAUAGAAAUAUUCAGAAAAAAAAAAAAACUCAAGAGAAAUAAUCCAUUCCGCUUUCUCAAUAAUUUAUUCAAAUUUAGGGAAGAACAGUAGUAAACGAAAACAGAGCAAGUUCAAACCUAACUUAUGUCAAAAAUAUCCAAGCUUUAAAUAUUUAUAAUUUGACUAUAUAUACAACAUAAUUUUUCAACUAAUAACAUUUUUCUUUGAUAUGCAAAACUAACAAAAUUACUAGUAUAUGCUUCUAUUGGAGCAUUACCAAAAAAUAAGAUUAUGCUCUUUCACUUCAAAAUUAUCAACUGAUUCCGCAACAAUAUAAUUUGUUCUUUACAGAAAAUUAUUUUCAACACAUUGGUUUAUAAAACUAACUUCAAAAAAAAAAAUUAAACCCAAAAACUUCAGCAUGCGUGAAACAUGACUCAUGAGCAACAAAAUAAUUUGUUCUACUCUAACUAUGUCAUGCAUUGUACAAAAAGAAAAGCAUAAUUAACUACCGAAUUCUUAACACUAAUUAUGAUUUUUCAUGCAUAAAUAGCUAUAAAAUUAGCUUAAAUUUAACAAAAUAAUAAUCAUAGUGAGAAAAAAUUGAGAAGAGAUGAAAAAUGAGUACCUAAUAAUUGGAUUGCAGAGUUUACUCCCCAAAAUGAGAGAUGGUUUAGUUAAAGAUGAUAGUGUGCUUUAUAGAGAACUUACAACAAUAGGGGUAUUUACGGAAAAACAUGUUAUUUGGUUGGUAGGCAGAGGACAUCGAUAAAAUCGUAAAAAGCUAAGUAUUAAAUACACUUUUAAAUUAUAUGUAAAAAUUAUUAAAAAUAAUAUUUUUACUUUAUUAAUUAUAAUUUAAAUAGUACAUCUUGAAUCUUAUAACAUAAUUUAAAAACUUGCUAAAUUUAUGAAUAUUUUCAAUAUUUCUCCGUCUUAUAUGAAUUAUAUAUAUUUAAAUGAUGAAAUGAAUAUAAAAAAAUCCAAAAUCAUUUUGUAAGUGUGAUUUAUAUCUUUAGCCCACCAUUUAGCCUACCAAUCAAACGCCCCCACUACUUAACUAAAAUUGUUAGAAAGAGUACAAAAGUAUCACUUUUGAAGAGUCGUUAAUUAUUCUUUAUAUAUCGUUAAAUGGCAUUAUACUAAUAAUAAUCAUUUGAAAUUUACAUGAUUAUUAAAGUGAGGUACUAUUUAGAUUUUAUUUUUGAAGAAAAGUAUGACAAAGAAUUAGUUUUAAUAAUUUUGAUAUAACAAAGAAGCAAUAUUUUUGUUAAUUAAACUAAACACUAAAGAAGCAAUCCUAUAUAUAAUUGACGAAUAUUAUUUAAAUAUUAUUUUUUUAGAUACUCAUAUUUAAAACACUUAGUAUUAUUUAUUUUACUUAUAUAUAAUAUAUUUUUCAUAAAAUAUUAUUCACUAUAGUUUUAUAUGUGUAGUAUAAAGAGAUAAUUUUACGGAUGAUUUAACAUUAUAACGGGUAUUAUUAUUCUUAUAAGUAACAUAUUAUUACAGAAACAAUUAAAAUAAACAUGAAAAAAUGGUUUUGCAUCAAUUAGGAUCAAAUCGUGAUGAUAAAAUACUGUUACCAUAAUAAUUACUCAUUAAGUGAGGUUUAGUUUUAAAAUAUUCAAAAUAAUUAUAGAUGCUACUUAAUAUUAAAAAGAUAUUUUUAUCUUAAUAAGUUAAAUUAGAAAACUAAAUAUAAAACUUCAUUUUUAAUAUAUUGGAAAAUAAAAAAUAGGGAAAAAGACAAAGUAACUUAUCGUCCGCUGACAACCACGUGACCCCUUUGGCCCGCUUUCCAAGUGCAUUAUUUUGGUGAAACAAUAAAUGAUUUGUCUGCCACAAAAAAUUAUAUAAUAGUAUCUUUCCGAAAGUUAAUUUGGACAAUUUUUAAAAUUAGAAUACAUUAAUUUUAUAUUUUAAAUAAAAAAUUAAAAAUUUAAAAAAUUAUAUAAUUAGUGUUAUACAUUAUGAUUUUAUUUCAUAUUGAUAUGAUAAAUAAUUUAUCAUAAAAUAAUUUUUAUAAUUUGCAUUUUAGAAAAAAUAACUAUAAGAAUUAUGAGUAAUCAGAUAGGAUAUCGUAAACGUAGAAUCUAUUGAGUGCAAAUGAUGAGCUGAGAGAAAUUAAAAUACGUUAUGUGAUUAUUUUGUCAUUGUUUUAUAUGAAAUAAUUUAUUUAUAUAAAAAGAAAUUAACUUUGAACCAAUACUAAUUAUUAUCACGCUUUAUAAGAUUAAAAAGUUAUUUUGUAAAUUAUUUUAAAAUUAGAUUCUUAUCCCAGAUCGAAUCUACCGUGCAAGUUAGAUUUUGGAGUUUUGUUUUACAAUUGGUUGAGAGGCAUUUUCGAGUUAUUAUUUUAAAAGAAAAAUCUUAUUAGAAUGUCUUACUCCUUCUCCAUUAAUAAAUAUAUAUAAAUAAUAAUAUCGUAUAUUUACUGAAUAAUUUUUCUCCGUUCUUGUUAAGAUUUAUAAAGUAAAAGACGUAUUAUUAUAUUUCAAACCAUUAUGAAUAACAUAAACUUUUCAUAAAAUUCACUUUGAUUAAAAUUUCAUAAAAUUUUUACACGUGUUCAUUAUUUAAUGCUCAAGAUUCCUUUUGUUAAUCAGAUGAAACUGCUAACGAUCUGGAGGCAUAUUAGGUAAAAUAAUUUAUGAAUUAAAAUUUAAUUUAAUAAAUAUAUUAUUUGAUUAUUUAAUUUAAUUUAAUUUAUGUAUUGUUUAUUCAUCAUAUGUGAUAUUAUCUUAUCCCUUGAAAAUGUAGGGAUAACUAAUUUAAGAUUUGUUAAAUCUUGGAUAAAAUUUUUAAAUGACUAAAUUAACCCUUUAUUCUUUUUUAAAAAAUUCUUUUGUAAUUUAAUUUCCUUUUUAUUUAUAUUAGAGUAGUUAUAAAUGUUCUUUUCUAAUUCUCCAAAUUUAUUUGGUGUAAUUUAAUGAUUUUACUAAUAUUUUUUUCUUCAUUUCUUUUUGAUUUUUUUUUAUUCAAGAUAAUUUGUCAAGAUAAGUUAAAUAAAUAUUUAACUUAACUAAUUAAAUGAAAUAAAUAAUUCUUUAAAAAAAUUAUCCGGUCCGGUAAUUAUCUACCUAGAAUUAGUUACAUGAAAUAAAAACUCAUAAUAACACAAGGGCAUAAUAGGAAAGAAUUUCUUUGUAGAAUUAUAAAUUAAACACAAAAUUAUUAAACACAAAAUUAAGUGGAAAGUAGUGAACCAAACACUUGACAAAAAAUAAUUCAUGCACUAUUAAUCCCUGCAUUACUAAUUCAUGCAUUAAUAAUCCAUGCAUUAUUAAUGUUUGUAUCAAACGACUCCUAUUAAAAAUUUUAAUUUUAUUUUAUUUUAAAAUAAAUUAAUAUUUUUUAUUUUUAAUUAAAAAAUAUUAAAAUUCUAAAUGAAAAUAUUUAAAAAUAUAAAAUAAUAUAAAAAAAUAAUCAUUUUGAUCAAAGAAAUUUCCAAUAAAAUAUAAUACUACUGGAAAACUUGGGUAAAUAAAAAGAAUCUUGAAAAUUCAAUAGUUAAAUAUGAUCUGCAACGUGUAUAUAGAUUAAAGUGAUGUCAGAAAAUAUAAAUUAUAGACAGUGAGAGAGUGACCAUUUGUUAAAAUUAGAGUUUUUAAUUAAUUAUUAUGAAUACAUAGAGUAAUGAGAUGUCGUUUUUCAUCUUUCCAAAUUUUCAACGAUAGUUGUUUAUUUAUCUUUUUAAAUUUCAUUAUUAUUAAUCAUAUUUUUUAUUUAUAAUUGUAAAAUAUGUAAAAUCAAUAUUGAAUAAAGUGUUAUCGAACACAUAGACUAACAUUAUUAUGAAACCCUAUGUUAAAAAUAUUGUUGAUUCGAAGAUAGUAAUUGAAUAUGUGAAAUUCAAAAAUCAAAAUUAUAUUCUAUUGAAGCACCAAUCGACAGAAUUGCUAACUACAUCAAUAAUCCCUACUUUUUGUUUUAACUUCUUCGGCUAAUUUUUUAAAAAAACUAUUAUUAUUAUUUUUUUAAAAUAUAAAAUUAUCAAUUUUUGUGUUUUAUUUUAGGUGAUAUUAUUUGACUUGAUAUGAUAUUUAAAAAAAUAAAAUUAAACUUAUGAUCCUAAACAAUUUUAAAAUAUUUAUAUGAAAAAAAAUUCAACUAUUUACUUGAACUUUGGAAAUAUCAAUUGUUUUAAAUUAUGAAAAAAGUGUCGACGAUUUUAUCAGAUCCGUUUAGCUAUUUGAAUCAAAAUCAUUAUAAAGAAGUUUUCUUUGAAUUAAAAUUUUGUUUGGACACGUAAUUUGAAUGAUUAACUUUUACUUUUAAUUAUGUAUAUAAAAAUUUAGUAAGUUGCAAAAAAAAUUAGAUUGCCUUGAUUAUAUAUAUAAUUUUAUCAAAUAAGCAAAAGUUCAUAACAAAAGUAAAAUUAUUUUCUUGUUUCGAAAAAAAAACUAAAUUUAUGAAUAAUUUUUUGUUCAAAAAAAAAUCAAACAUAAGUUGUAACGUAUUACUCUCUAAUAGAAGUCAAUUAUUGAAUAAUAUUAUUAGCAACUAUAUCAUCAUAUUUAUAUUAGGUGAAACAUUUCAUUACUCUUCUGGUAUUCUCCAAAAAAAUUGUAUACAUAUAAUUAUUAUUUUUUUAUAUAAAAUAUAGACUUGUAAAAGAUUUGUUUUUUAAUUUGAAAAUGUUAAAAUAAGAUAUGAAAUUUUCAAAUUAAGCUUUUUUGAAAAGUUUAGAAUUUAUUCUCUUUAUUUGAAAUGAUAUUAUAUAUUCAAACAUUGAUUCAUCUCAUAAUUUUAAAUUACCAAAAAAAGAAUUACAUAUCAACCGCAUAUUUAAUACUUUUCCGUUUAUUUUAAUUUAUCGUAUUGCUUUUUGAAAGUUAAUUUAACUAAUUUUUAAAGUUAAAUUAGAUUAUAUUAUUUCAAUAUUUCAAAAGAAAAAAUGAAUAUUCAAAAAUUAUAAAAAAAUAAUAUUAUAAGUUGAAAUUUAUUAAAUAUCAAAAUGCUGGAAUAAUAUUAAAAAUUUCUAAAAUUUAACACUAAAAUAGAAAAUUAUAACAAUUAAAAAUGAACAGAAAUAAUAUAAACUAGAGUUUUUUUUUUUUAAAAAAAAUAAGCAUCUAAAAUCAAUUACAGAUAAAUAAAAAUAUUUAGCUCACCAAAUAAAUCUCGACCAUUAAAAUAAUUGCAGAGACACGUGCAUAUUGUGACUGCACCACACAGAGUGUGGAGGAGCCAAAUCCGGACUAUUCCUUCUCUUCUACUAUUUUUGGUUAUGAUUCCAUCUGAGAAUCACGUGCUUUUUGGUAGAAUAUUCGUGCUUCAUUUCAAUAUUUCGCUUGUUAUAAAUUAUUUAUAAAUAAUUAAAAUUAAAAAAAUAAAAUAUAUAUAUAUUUUUUAGAUUUAUAUUGUUAGGAGUUAAAUUAUAUAUAUUUAGAAUUUAUGUAAUCAAGAAUUGAAUUAUACAAAUUUUAAAUUAAUACAUUUAAAAAAUUAAUAGUAAAAUUUCGUAAAACCAUUAACACGAACUAAAAAUAAUCAAAUUAUAAUUAUAUUACAUAACAUACAUUAUAUAUUUGUCAUUUUGUGUAAUUUUCUCAUAAAAGUGAUAAAAUCUGUAAUAUAAUAGUGAAGUCACAUAUAUCUAACUAAUAGAGUUCGAAAUAUUUUUAAGUCAUAAAGAGAAAAAAUUGACACAUGUAAGCGAGCCACACUUUUAUUAUGUAGCUAAAAUAAGAUUAGCGUAGUUAUUUCUUUCACUUUAUCAAAAAAUAUAAAUGACAAGCAUUAGUUGUAACAACCUUCUUAUUGGCAAAACAACAAAAAAGAACUGGGCCAUCAUCCCGUCAGAGCAGGCCAGCUGCACUAGGGCGUCAGCGCUCCACCAGGAUAAUUCGCACCGGAGCGUCUCCUUUUUUCUAAAAACACCUAAAAAGGCGAUGAUCGCCCCUAAAACCCCCCCAAAAGGAUGUUCUAGGCUUAGAAAGAGAGAAGAAAGAGAUUUCUAGCGUAAGAAUGUCGAUAGCUUGCGAAUUUUCGAUCGAAUCCACCGUCUGGUCGUCCGAAAGUCGGAUUGAGGCUAAAAUCUCUUUACGAUUGCUUGGCGUUUAGAUAGGUUAGGUUUAUUUAUUUGAGUAGUCUUAAAUCUGUUUUCACUACGUAGUAUAUGAAUAAUUGACGGUAGAAUUCAUGUGUAGGCCAUCGUGUACCGAAAAAAAUCGUCGUGCUUGUAUACCUAGUUGUUACACUAGUAUAUACCGUCAGAGGAAGCCUCAUCGUGUGAACUAAGGUUGGGUGAAGGUUUAAUUCUUGUUUGUGUGAUGAAAACCUGUGAAAUUAGGUCUUACGCCUAACUCACACCCCAAAAGCUAGCUCAAAGAGAGGACGAUUGCCCAAGUCUUAUAAGGAGUCCACUCAUCUCAUUAACCACCGAUGUGGACUUUUGUCAUUCUUUAACACCCCACCUCAUGCCAAGUGCUUAGCAUCUGGUGCGUGGGCAAUUUUGAUUUUGGGGGCCUCAACAUCGGGUGAGAUGACCCCUGCUCUGAUACCAUGUGAAAUUAGGUCUUAGACCUAACUCACACCCCAAAAGCUAGUUCAAAUGGAGAAGAAUUGCCCAAGCCUUAUAAGAAGUCUACCCAUCUCAUUAACCACUGAUAUGAAACUUUUGUCAUUCUUUAACAAAACCUGUUAAUGGUUUCGCUAUAUGCAUGUAUGCAUGAGAGCACCGUUGCAUUGUCAUAUUUAUUUGCUAUUGAGAAUGUGGAACUGUAUAUGGCUUUUGAAGUGAUAAUUGAAUUAUACAUUUUGUAUACAUUUUUUUAUCAUGUCGUGUUUACUUGUUAUAGAUCUCGUUAAUGAAUGAACUAAAAUGAUCAAACCCAAAUCGGGAGGUAGUGUGGUAAUAAAAAUCGAGGGUCCAGGUGUUACUAUGUGCUAUUUUACAGAAGUCGGUGGUGCAUAUCGUAAAUGUUGAGUAGCUGGGUAUUACCGGGGAUUUGUAUUGAAACGGUUAACAAGUCUUGGUAGAAUGUACUAUGGGGUAAAGGAUUGAGUAGUGAUGUGGAAAAAUUAGAGUAUGUCGUGAGUGGUUGACCGAGUUGGUAAUAGCUACAUAUGAAACCUCCUCUAAGUGAUUGAACAUUUAAACUAUGAUUAAGAAUGGAGCGGGUAAGGGGUUAUAGGCAGAUCUUAAAGCAUUCGGAAAAUGGUAAGGGGUAAGAGAACAUAAAUAUGGAAAUACAACUGGUCUUUUUGCAUGUUUCUUGCUAGUUGUUUUCUUAUAUUAUGCGGUGAGUAUCGGGUUAACUGAUGAUGUUUACUAGUAUGUGUGGUUGUAUUGAUACUGCUCUUGCUAUGCCUUUUGUCAUUGUUCGGUUACAGAGUCAGUGAUAUUUUGUAGGUGAGGACGAACAAUCUCCAACAACUUCUAUUUUUCCUUCUGUGUGGUGGAAACUACGUCAUUUAUUAUUAUGUUGUACCGCGUAAUCUUAUAAGCUCUUUUUACUUGUUUAGACUAGAUCUUUGGAAAAGUUAAUUACUUUACAAAUUAACUUUGAGUCGUUUAAAGGCUGGCUCGUUUAAAACAUUAUUUUAUAAACAUCACAUCAUGAAUUUCUUUUAUUCAUGAGUUUUUCUGAGUUUUCGGUAUUUUCAAAACGUUUGGUAAUCGAAGGUUCUCCUACUUAGGUGUUAGAGUAGGUGCCAGCAUGACCCGAUAAAUUGAAUCGUAACCUCUGUUAACGUUAAAAUUUUGACAUAAAAUUAAAAAAAAAAAACUACUUUUUAUAAAACAAAACUUUUUCUUAAACUUUGAAGUAGAAAUUUCUGUCACACUCUUACAUUUUCCAUAUGUACCUUUCAUCAAUGAGAUCCUUACUAUAUAUUUUCUAAUAGAACAACAAAAUGAAAAAUAUAUAAUAGUUAAAAAUGUCAUUUAAUUUAUAUUUUUAAAUAGUUAUUUUCAACUUCUAACUAUUCGCUUAAUAUAAAUCAAACUCGAUACUAUUAUAAACAAUACAUAUCAUUCAUUAUCUUUUUAAGGGCAUGCAAAGUCCGAAACCAAUAAUUUAAGAUGCAGGCAUAUUAGUAAGAAACUAAUUAUUUUAAAAAUAUUUACACGUACUCCAGCAAAAUAUUAUUGGGAUCAGAAAACUGAAAAGUGUUAGAAAAUAAAUUUAAGAGGCAUAGUAUCUGGAUGAAAUUAUACAUAUAUUAAUAUGAGUUUUAAUAAUAUAGGUAAAAGUUAUAUAUAUAUUAAUUAUAUGCAAAAUUUAUUUAUAUCCGUAUAAAUUAAAUAGGCAUUCAUUGUGCAGAAUUCAACUAUAUACUAUUUAGUAAUUAGUAUACAUGUAUAAAUUAUGCAAACUUUAGUUAGAUAAAGUUUAUAAACAUUAGUGAACUACCGUAAUUUUUAUUUGUUAAUUUUUUUUGGGAAAAUAUCUAAGUACCCCCUUAAUAUAUGCCCGAAAUUUUAGAGACACACUUAUACUAUACUAAGGUCCUAUUACCUUCCCUGAACUUAUUUUAUAUGUAAUUUUCUACCCCUUUUUAGCCUACGUGGCACUAGUUGGGAAAAAAAAUCAACCAUCGUUGGGCCCACAAGAUAGUGCCACGUAAGCUUAAAAGGGGUAAAAAAUUAUUAAUAAAAUAAGUUCAGGGUAAUAGGAUCCCAGUAUAGUAUAAGUGUGUUUCUGAGAUUUCGGGUAUAGGUUGAGGGAUACUUGGGCAUUAUCCCAUUUUUCUUUAAAAAAAAAUAGCUAAUACUUAUCAUCACCAUUAAAGAAACCAACUAUAUAAUCAUUACAUUAAAAUUAGAUAAAUAUCAAUAGCUAAAAAAGUAAUAAAUAACUAAUAGUAAUUAAGUAAUUCAUAUUCAAUGUGAUUAAACAAUUAAGCAAUAGGUAAUUAAAUUAAAAUAAAUAACAAAUUACUAAAAAAAAUUGUAUUGACAAUGUGUUUUAGAGAAACUAAACAAAGAAAUCAACUAAAAUUGACCGUCACUACCUUUUACCACGAAAGAAAACAAUUAACAAGAAUUUCAGUAAAAGAAACUAACAGUAAUUAAGCAAUUACCUAGAUAAAAAUCUCCAAGAAAAAUACCGUUAUAACAAUUAAGCAAUAUGUAAUUAAUAUCUACAUAAUUUAUUUUACUUGCUAUCUCGUAUAAAUUAUAAGUAAAUUUCCUUUUAAGUUAUACAAAUAUUAAUUAUGUAAAAUUAUAAUGAAUACUACCAAACAACGUAUUAAUAUCCGUAUAACUUUUAUAAAACAUUUCAAAAUUUAUCAACCAAACACCAUAAAGUCAAUGCACGAAUAAAUUUUAUUUUAUUUGCAAACCAAACAUAAUAUAUAAUUAAUACACGAAUAACCAAAAUUUUAAUUUAUCUCCUCUACUAAGUUAUUCUAUUUUCCUUUUCAUUUUUAUUGAAUAUUUUUUUAGAAGAAAUAUUUAGAAAACAAGUUGAACUGUUGGAACAAAAAAAAUCAUACCCAACUAACCUUAGUCCUUGAGGGUGAAAUAAAAUAUAUAUUUGGAGAGUAAAAUAGAAAAUGUGUUCUCUAAUUACAUUUUAUCUACAAAUACAGAGCGGUGACCUUUCUAUUUUAUUUUUUAAUUAUUUUAAUAAUAUUUUUAUUAUAUUACUAUUUAUUAAGUCUUUUAUCAUUUAUAUUUAUUUUCUAAUGUGAUACAAUAUCUAAAAAUAUAUUAUUAACAAGUUACUAUUUCCACUCAAAUUAAUAAUUUUUCUAUUUUAUCUUUAAAAAAAGAAAUUAUUGCUUCAAAUAUGUAAUUUUAAAGUCAUUUUAAUAUUAUUAUAUUAUAUAAGAUUAUUAAUUAAGUCUCUAAUAUUUUAAAUUAUUUUCUAAUUAAUAUAAUAUCUAGAACAUAUUAUUGAUUAGUAUACUAUUUUCAUUCUGAAAUUAACAAUUUAUUUUUAUUUUUUCAUUUUAAAUAAGUAAUUUAAAUUAUAAUUAUUUUCAUUAUGAAGUAUGCACAAAAUUUACCUGAUAAUUUAAACAUUCUACUUUUAUGUUAUUGUUAUAAGUUAUUAAGCUACAUUUUUUCAAAGAGUAUGAAAAUAUUUGAUGCAAUGAGUCAAAAUGGAAUAGAAAAAGUUAAUUAAUACACGAAAUAAUUGGUAUAAGACAAAAUUAUUAAUUUAAACAAUUUUAGAUACACAUAAAAAAAUAAGGACAAAAAACACUUAUUUUGAACUCCGUAAUACAUUAAUUGAACAUUCAUAAGAGUAUGUUAUAAGAUUCAAUAUGUAAUUUUAUUUCAUCAAUGAUUUCACUUUUAUUUGAAUUGUUCACUAAUAUGUAUUAUAUAUACUAUUUAUUGCAAUUUAUGUCAUUUAGAAUUUUUAAAAAAUUAUAUCUUAAUUAUAAUUUCAUAAAAUAAGAUAAAAUAAUUUUAAAUAAAAUAAUAUAAAUAUAAAAAAAAGUUCAAAUUUAAUUGUAAUACAUUUAUUCUUAUUUCACCUAACAAUUGAAUAAACUGUACCGCUAUUAAAGGAUAUUGCAUUCGGACAAAAUUACUUAUUCCUUAAUUAAAUAUUUUAAGUUCAUACUCCAAGUAUUAAAAAAUCUUUAAUAAAAAACAUUUCCUAUAAAAUGAGGCCAAUUUUCUGCAAUGUAAAUUUAAAAUAGUUAGGUAUAUUAAAUUAUUUUAUAAACAAUAGUUAAUGAUUCUGCGACGUAAAUCUAAAAUAGUUUGGCAUGCUAAAUUUUUUAUAAACGUGGCUAGUGGUGUGCUAAGCCAUUUCAUUUUAUUUCAUUUGAAUGGUUGAAAUUAUUUGCAUAUUUUUCAUGAGUGGUAGAGAGCACAAGUAUGGAAUUGACAGGCUUUGAAUUGCUGAGAUCUAGACAUGGAGAAUUGGACCUACUAUAUAUUAUGCAAUUAUAUACUAAUCUUUAGAGACACGUUGUAAAAACAUAGGUGUGCUAAAGAUGUACGUUGGUCGAAAAAUUAUAUUAUCGUUAUUAUAACUUACAUUGAUAGAGAAUAAUUUGGACAUAGAUUUUUAUGAUCAGACCAAAUUGUUAAGUUUUCAUAUUGGGUGAAAUGCGAAACUUAUUUCUCUUUAAAUGAUUUCGUACACUCAAACAUCACCUUAAUAGUUUAGAUUUUUCGGAUUAAAUAAUGUUUAAGAUUUGUAUUCCUUCAUCAUGUUUUAAGAGUUUGAGUUUAUUUUUAUUCUUAUUAUUUAUUUUAUAUUGGUCUUUUUCUUUUUUAUAUUUUUAGGUUGUUGAGCGUUCAUAUUGAUUGAGAUGUCAAAACUUUGAUAUUUUAAAUAAUCUUUAACAAUUUUCACCUCAUAAUUACAUCAUCAGGUCGAAUUAGAUGUAAGAUUCAUUUCGUAGCACUAUUUUCAUGUGAAAAAAACUAUAGAAUUUUGCAGAUAUCAUUUUUGCUCAAUUUCAACGACUAAAAGUACUAAAUUACCCUCAACAUCAACUUUUUAUAGUCUCCCCACAAAAAAAUUGAGGGUAUUAUAGUCAAUCCUCCUUCUCUCACUAUAGUUUUUAAGUGAAAUCUCAAAACUGUCCCUACAUUCAGUGGCAAGUCAAUUCGAAGUAUCCUCAACUCUCAGCCCUAAUUUGGGGAUUUCAUUCCAUUAAAUCAUUAUCUGCUCAAUGCCAGAGUACCAGAGAUACUAUAUUAUAUUCUAUAUACAUAAAAUUUUGGUAAAUCGUGGUGAAUAGUCAUUAUCUAGACAAUGAUUUUUUGUUGUUUCUGUAAUCCUUGAUUAUUUUUUUUCAGUGUAAUUAGUGUCUUAAUCGUAGUAUUAUACUUUAAUAGGGUGAUUUUAACUUCUCUUCAUCGCAAUUUAUAUAAUGUAAUUUGAUUUGAUAUUAAUUUAAUGAUACACUUGUGUAUAAAAAAAACUUUAUAAUAUUCUAAAAUUACCUUUCAAAUAAAAUAAGAAAAAAUUGUAUAUAAUAGCAAACUAAUAACCUAAAAUAAAUGAAGUAGAUAGGGUUUGAUUUAAUUGUGUUCCAUAGCAAAAUGUUUGCAAAAAAUUGCAGGCGCCUCUCUCCCAAAUAUCUCGCUCGCUCGCUUCCUCACUUUUUAUACAAACACAAGUGUAUAAAAAUUGUUUCUAAUUGUAUAAAGUAGAGAAAAUUGUAUAAAUAUAUAUAUUUUUGUUCCGCUCUCUCCUCUCUUUCAGAUCUCGCUCGCCGCUCUCCCAAAAUCUCGCUCGCCACGCUCGCCUUUCUCUCUUAUACAAAUAGAAGCGAAAUGUAUAUAUUGCGUUUCUGUUUGUAUAAAGCGUGAGAAAAUUGUAUAUACACAUGCAAGUACAUAUAUUUUCGUCCUAUACACUUAUAAUUAUACAAUAAAAAUACUCUCCUGUCCAACUUCUUUUACCUUUCUCUCUUUCUCGUUUUAUACAAUUUUCAAAUUAUAUCUAAUUUCUCUCUUUCUCGUUUUAUACAAUUCGAUUCAAUUGUAUAUUCCUUGUCAAGUCUCUUUUGUCUUUCUCUCUUUCUCAUUUUAUACAAAUUCAAAUUGUAUAUAAUCGUUCUAUACACUUAUAAUAAUAUAAUUCGUUUUAUACACUUCGUUUUUAUACAGUUCUCUGCCCAAGUGUCUUUCUCUUUCUUGUUUUAUACAUUUCGUUUUAUAUAAUUUGCUUCAAGUGUAUAUGUAUAGCGAAUUAUAUAGCUUCUAUGUUUGCUAUGGAGCAAUUAUGCAAACUUUGCUAUAACAUACAAAUAUAAAUUUUUUGUUUGUUAUAUAUGAAUAUUGCCCAUAAAAUAAAGUAAAAAAUUACACCUAAGUAGAUUUUUGUGUGUAUAUAUAUAUAUAUAUAUAUAUAUAUAUAUAUAUAUAUAUAUAUAUAUAUAAACUAUAAAAAAAAUAUGUCAUAAAAAUUAAGACAAAAAAAAUGAUCGCUUCGUAUAACUGUGAUUUGUAAUUAUGUGAACUGCUUAAUACUACUCCCUUUGAACUAAAUAUCAGUCAAUACUUUUAAAAAAAAUAUAUUUUAAUAAAUAGGUGUAAAGUUAGCAAUUAUACUAUAUUAUUAUUAUUAUUAUUAUUAUUAUUACUAAUUUUUUAAUAAGUGUGAAAAAGUGAAAGUAAUAGUUAAAAUUAUAUAAAGGCGUAUCAUUUAUUUAUAUAAUGUGAGAAUCCAUUCAAUAUAUCAAAAAAAUUUUGUUCACUUGUAUUGUGAUUGUAUGAAUGCUUGAAUUAUUCAAUAUUCCUUCUUAUUUCUCAUCAAAUAAAUGAUAUCUUCUUCUGAAAAUUCUAUCGUCUCAACUUAUUUCCUUCUUUUUGAUACUUUCUUUUCCGAUGAAAAAACUUACUAAGAUUUUAAAAAUUAUUUUAAAAAGAUUUGACUAAAAAAAUUAAUCCUUUUACAUUUAGCGAGUCAUUUUCUUUUAUAAUAUGCUUUAAACCUUUCCAUUUUUUUCUUAGGUAAUUCAAAUUAUAAUCUCAAUACCUUAAACUUGAAAUCAUAAUUUCCUUUAAUAUCCGAACAAAUCCUUUAAUUCGUUGACUAAUUUGUGAGAAAAUAAAAGAUGUAUUUUUUUAAAAUAAAAAUAAAAAUUGUAGAUCUGUUUUUGGUUUAAGUGAGGUGAAUAUAAUGUUAGUUUGACAAAUAAAAGGACAAAAUAUAACAUAUAGCCUGCUGGCAACCACGUGAGACUUUGAAUUAUUUUUAUGAAGCGAUAAAUGACUUUGUCUCUCAUAAAAUAAAAUCAUUAGAAUAUCUUUAGAAUUUAUUUAUUAAAUUGUAAAGGACCUAAUUAAUUGUACAAUUUAUUAUGUUUUGGAGAUUCCGUUUGAAAUCUUGUUUGCGUCACAAGUUGUUGAACAAAUAAUGUGGUACUCCUUCUGUUCUGUACAUUAUACUUUUUUUUAAAAUUAUAAAUAAAAAGAUCAUUUUGUUAUAUUAUUCUUUUAAAAAUAAUAUCUUAAAAAAUAUAAAAGAGAAAUGACUAUAAUUAAUGAUGAGGAUAAAUUAGAAAUUAAGUACAUAAAGUGGAUAGAUAUUGUUAUAAAAUAAUAUAGUGGAAAACUAUCAUUGAACGAAGGAAGCGUUAAAAAUAAUUGUUUAAUAAUACUCCAUGUUUCUUAUUUUCAUGUCGCUUUUACUAUAAAUGGAUAUUUUUAAAUAUUUAUUAUUUCAUAAAUUCAAUACAUAAAUAACAUUAUCCUUCUUAUUUUUUUAUCGUUGAAAGCAUGAAUUUGAUCCGUAUAAUAAAACUAAAUGGAUAAUUUAUGUUAAUUGAUAAGUUUAAUUGUCAAAAUAAAAUAUUUAUGUUUAUUUAGUCAAGAUAAUAUUGAAUAUGGAACUUACUUAUUUUCGGAAGGUACAUGAAAUUUAAAGGUUUAGAAAAUCACAAGACGUCUUUUUCACCCUUAUUAUUAAUACUAUUUAACAUCUAAUACAUCUUUUGAAAUAAUAAGUUUAAUGUAUUCAAAGGAUAAUGUGUUAAUAUUAUUCCUACUAAUUAUUAGGUUUUACGCUAUAUGUCAAAUCAAUCAUGAAUAACUAUUGUUAAAUAGAGAGAAUAGUAUUAAAAGAUGCUUUGACAUAAUAAGAGAUUUCAAAUAUUCUUAAGUAGGUGUAGAGUACCGUAUAUCAUAGCAUUUAAAAUUUUGGUACGUAUUAUAUCAUUAUCAUAAUAGUAAUUAGUCAGAUUUCGACUUACCUAUAUAUAUGCAACUCCAUAAUGAUUGAAAUAAUACUCAAAUAGCUUGUUACAUUUUCCAAAUAGUAGUAAAUAUGGCUUAUGAAUCACUUUGCAAAAGUAACAAUAUAUAUAUAUAUAUAUAUAUAUAUAUAUAUAUUAUUAUUAUAAAACUUUGAUAUGGUGUAUGAUCUUUCAAUAUUUAUAAUACAAAUAUCAAAAUCAAAAUAAUCUAAAAUGCAUAGCAAAUACCAUAUUAAAUAUCAUAUAUUCACAUUAUACAAUAGAAAAUUUUGAUUUUGAUAUAAGUACUCCUUCAUCGUCUACGUGUUAUUUGUGGACUUUUUCUUUACAAAAUACUUAAGAAAUGAUAAAUAAAAAAGCUAUUUUUAUUAAUUUAUCCAUUAACAUUUUAAAUACAUUUUUUUAAUGUGUUUUAUCAUAGAUGAAAAAAUAACUAUUGGAAAACUCUUUUUUUUUUAAGUAUCUUUACCAUAUUUCUAUAAUAUUAAAAAUAAUUAAUUGUUAGAGCAAAAUGCAAAUAAUACAAAUCAUUAAUUUUGUAAAUUAUCAAAGAAUUAGAGACGGAUGUUUUUUUAAUAAUGCAAACAAGUAUUCCCCCAUUUCACAAAUAGUUAUCAUAUUUAGUUUUUUGUUUCGAAAACUAAUUUUCAAAGUUAAUUUGUUUAGAUUAAUUUAAUAUUUUAAAAAUAAAAUUUAGAUAUUUAAAAAAAUCUAAAAAAAUUAGAAUUUUAAUUUUUUUAAUCAAUAUUUUUAAAUGAAUAUGUCUUAAAAUAUUGAUUUCAAUUUAUAUUAUUCUAACUAAAAAUUGUGAUAAAAUAAAAAUGAAUGGAGAAAAUAUACAACAUGGAGGAAGUAAUAAUUUGAACUUCUCUAGCGAUCCUUUUGACCAAAUUAAGAUCAUUUAAGUCUCUUUGUUGUCUUCAUUCUUCAUUUAUGGUUUUGAUUACAAAAUUAAAUCGAAUUAUGUUUUGAAUUAAAUUGAUAUUUGAUUAAUUUAAUUUGGUUAAAUUUUAAAAAUCGAUAUUAUUUAGUAUGAUUUUAAUAAAAAACAAUUGCAAAAAUAAUUGAACUGAACAAAUAAACUAGAUGUAUAAAUUUUAUGAUCAUUUAUAUAUUAUUCAUAAAUAAAAAAAUAUUUUUGUUAAAUUUUAAUUAAUUUAAAUCUUUAACUUUAACAAUUUUCAAGCCCAAUACUUUAGCCCAACUAUAACAAUCUUACGUCCAAGUCCAUCAAAAUCAUAUUUAAUCUUUACCUACCCAACUUCAUAUAAAAUAGUCAUAUUUUUUCUUAAUUGAAUCACUUUUAUCGUGUAAUAAUAACUCUAGUAUUGCUUAAUUGCUUAACUGAAUCGUCAAUAGCUUUUCUAUGGAUUGUUCAUUACUAGGUGUAAGUGUCUAUCGAGAUUCGUACAUUCUCAAAAAAAAUUAUAUUCAAGCUAAAUAAAUCAUAAAAGUUGAACAAAACCAAUAAUUCUUUCUUUCCGUUUGGUUUAAUUUAAUUUUAGAAAUAUAUUUAAACCAACUAGAUCAAUAAUCGAUCCAAGCCAAAUCACGAGCACCCUUACAGGGAUAUUACUUAUAGAUCUAUCAUCUAUAUAUAAAAAACAUGUUAAGUCCUUUUCCUUUGGGAAAUAGUUCAAUACAAAAUCUUUUAGUUAUAUAGUAUUGUGUUGAGUUUUAUUUCUUAAUGAUUUUUUUUGGUUAAUAUUUGUGCUUUUAAUUUAGGGGAAAAGGACGAAUAUAUCCAAAGUUAUCUUAAAUGGCAUGCAAAUAUUUUCCGUCAUAUUUUUGGGACAUUAAUACUCUUGCCAUCCAAAAAUUAGAACAACUUGUUAAAAUUCUAAAAAUAUUUAUAUUGAAUGAAAUAUCUUUUAAAAUGAUACCAUAGGCACAUCACAAUUUUUGUAAUUUUUGAAAAUAUUUUUUUUAUACUAAAUAGCUGUUAGGAUAAAAUUUAUUUUCAAAACUAGCCUAUAUUUGAAUUGUUACCCGCGUUAUAUGCUAUUAUACAAACUUUAUACCUUGUAUAUACUAACUAUAUAACAUGGUAUAUCGUGAUCCGUGUGUAUAAGUACUGUUAAAAACUCCCUCUAGAGUUGGCUAAUUUUAAGAUUAACUUAAUACUUUAAAUUCAUUUCUUUAACAAAAAUAUAAUUUUUAUGUAAAAAAAUAUAGAUUUUUUUUUAUAAAUUAGUUCAAAUUGAAAUCAUAAUUUUAACUUUACAACAAAUUUAACAAUAAGAUUUUUAAGAUUUGACAAAUAGAAACGAUCUCAAUAAAGAACUUUUAUGAAUAUAUCGAUGCUAGUUUAUUAUGAGGGGACUAGGGAUGUUAUCAACCAAGAGAUAUUUUUAUUUUUUGAAAAGAAAGUGAACUGAAUAUUUUGAGGUGCGAAUAAAUUCAUCUUUUCUAAAUAAUAUUAAUUGUUAAUUCUUUAGAAAGCAAAUUUCUUUAGAAUUUUCCAUGGCCAAGAUUAUUAUCAAAGAAUCUUCAAUCACUUUCAAGAUAACGUAAUUUAUAGAAGAAGAAGAAAAUCAUUUAAAGAAGAUUUCUUUAUUUGAACACGUAUUUCAGUUAAAACUUAAAUUUAGCUUUCAGGUAAAUUAAAUUCAUGAUAGAAUUUUAAAAAAUAAAAAAUAAAAAAAAUUUUAUUUAAAAAUUGAAUUCGCAUUUAAGCUCCAAAUACAAGUUCUAAUUAUUGAAUAUACAAUAUUUAUUUAUAAAUACAAAGACAUUUGAUAAAUUUACAAAUUCAAAGUGAAAAAGUUUUCUAUAAAUUAUUCCUAACAAUUAAAUCGGAUAUAUUAUGUGUAUUAAUUCUUUUAUUGACACAUUAUAUUGAGAAUAUUAUUAAUUAAUAAAACACAUUAUAUUGAAAAUAUUAUUAAUUAAUAAAAGUGUAUAUGAUAUUUUAAAUAUGAUAUCAGAGGAUACAGAAAUCCUGCGAUCAAAUUUUACUAUCACCUAUUUUAGAUGAGGUUACCACACACUUGAGGAUGAAACACUCCUAUGAUAUUCUUUCCUCCAAACAUUAUUAUACUUAUAGACCCCACAAAAUGAUCAACUCUUUAAAAAGUUGUUAGAACCUAGAAAAACUGAAUUAUUAGACGUUUGGCCAUAUGUUAUCAUAUUACAAUAUAAUAUCGUAAAAUGGAAUCAACAUUUGGAUAUAUGUAAUUUUGCGUUAAUUUUAUUUCAUAAUUUCAUAUCAUGAAAUAUGAUGCUAUAUUUUUCAAAAAGGAUGAUAUAGAAUUACAUUGUGAUUUCAUAUCAUGAUUUGAGAUAUUUUUAAAAAAAAUUGAUCUACAAAUUUAUAUUUUGUCAAAACAAUUCCACAUGUAUAUCUAGUAACCAUUUAUUUCAUGUGUAAAUAAAAUUUAUAAUCACAUCAUUACUUUUUAAAGUUUAAUAUUCUCAUCGAAAUAAAAUUUAUUAUUCACACCAACAUAUGAUCACUUUAACUCACACCAACCGAUUGUUAAAGUAAUGAAAUAAUUAUGGUCUAUAAACAUGAAAAUAUAGUUGCGAAUGAUAUUGACCAACAAAUAGCUCAAAAGUAACAAUGUUGGUUCGUCUUCUCAGUCACAUGAUCGAGAAAUGCAAAUUCAACUUGAAGAAAUUGUCCGAUCUAUGUAAGAGGAUUAUAUGAAAAACUAGUACACUAUAAUUUAUGUUCAAUUUUUUUUAAUUAAAUUAAAGCUAGAUGAAACAAUUACUUAAGUGUAGAACAAAUACCUUUGUAAUAAUUUUAUUAUGCGAUUUUACAAUUUUUUAUUUGAUAAGAUUGAAUAAACAAUUGGGGCUACUUUAAUAAUUUUACUAUAACUUAUAAGGUUUUAUGAGAAAAAAAAUAACACACAAUUUUUAUAUCGUAUGACCAAACAAAAUUUUAAUUUCAUUUUAUAAUUUCAUAUCAUAAUAUCAUAUGCAUGAUCAAACAUGUUCUGAGAGACUACAUGUCAACAAUUUAUCUCACUUUUUUUGCUCUUAAAAUUGGUCAAAUUGGUUUCUCUAUAAGAAUAUCUGAAUAUGAUCCACUAUAUUUUGUUAUCAGCUUGGCCUGUAAUGUGUAUGAUGUUUAUGGUGGUGCAUUGGCAAAGUUGGUUAAUAUAUUGUCAUGAAAAUUCUAAAUACACACAUAGUAACAAAUUAAUAUGUUUAUACACUUUUAUUUUAUGAUAACAUUGUAGGGCAUAAAAAUGGACAAAGGAAGAGAGUAAACCUCAUUUUUGUAAAUGUUGUUUCAAAGCAAGAACAUCUGUUCAAUCUACAGAAGGAGUAUCUCAGUCGCUGCUGCAUUUUCCUCAAAACCCAAUUCCCCUUUCAUCCAAGAUUCAGUUAUUCACUGCACAGAAGAAGUUUUAGCAUCGAAACUAGCUCCAAUUUUGCAAUCUUGCAACAGUUCUGCAGAAAAUCUUGGUUCUGUUAUUCGUAAAGGGGAGCAGGUUCAUGCCCAGGUAACUGUAAAUGGAAUUGACAACUUGGGUAUUCUUGGUACGAGAAUCUUGGGGAUGUAUGUUUUGUGUAACAGGUUUAUCGAUGCCAAGAAAUUGUUUUUUCAGCUUCGGUUGUGUUAUGCUUCUCCUUGGAAUUGGAUGAUUAGAGGGUAUACAAUAAUGGGUCGUUUUGAUCUUGCAAUCUUGUUGUUCUUUAAGAUGUUGGUGUUUGGUACUUACCCUGAUAAAUACACUUUUCCUUAUGUGAUUAAGGCUUGUGCUGGUGUAAAUGCUGUGAGUUUCGGUAAAUGGCUACAUCGGUUGGUACAAAGUUUAGGUUUUGAGGAUGAUGUGUUUGUAGGUAGUGCUUUUAUUAAGUUUUAUGCGGAGAAUGGUUGUUUGGAUGAUGCUCGUCUUUUGUUCGACAAAAUGUAUCAAAGGGAUAGUGUAUUGUGGAAUGUGAUGCUUAAUGGUUAUGCUAAAGAUGAACAGUCUGUGAAUGAUGUGGUUGGGUUAUUUAUGGAAAUGAGGAAAAGUGAAACUAAGCCUAAUUCAGUAACAUAUGCUUGUGUUCUUUCUGUUUGUGCGUCGGAAACAAUGGUUAAAUUUGGUUGUCAGCUUCAUGGGCUUGUUGUGCGAUGUGGGUUGGAAAUGGAUUCUCCAGUAGCUAAUACAUUGAUUGCGAUGUACGCUAAAUUCUGUUCCUUGUUUGAUGCACGCAAGAUCUUUGAUUUAGUGUCACAAGCAGAUCGUGUGACUUGGAAUGGGAUGAUUGGAGGGUAUGUACAGAAUGGGUAUAUCGAUGAGGCGCUGGAUUUAUUUCGGGAAAUGGUAGCUAGCAGUGUCAAGCCAGACUCUAUCACCUUUGCCAGUUUGCUCCCCUCUGUUUCUAUAUCGGAAGAUUUGUACCAGGGGAAGGCGAUUCAUGGUUAUAUCGUGAGAAAUGAUGUAUCUAUUGAUGUUUUCUUAAAGAAUGCCAUUAUUGACAUGUACUUUAAGUGCAGGAAUGUUGUGGCAGCACGCAACAUAUUUAGCUGCAGCCCUGCGGUGGAUGUUGUUAUUUGUACUGCUAUGAUUUCAGGAUUUAUUCUUAAUGCCAUGAGUUCUGAUGCCAUAGAUGUUUUCCGAUGGUUACUUAAUAAGAAUAUGAGGCCCAAUCCUGUUACUCUAGCAAGUACCUUACCCGCUUGUUCUGGUUUGGCUGCUUUGAGAUUAGGUAAGGAACUGCAUGGUGUCAUUGUUAAGCGCAGCUUUCAAGGAAUACUUUAUGUGGGAAGUGCGGUGAUGGACAUGUAUGCAAAGUGUGGAAGAUUGGAUCUUGCUCAACAAGUUUUCAGAAGGAUGCCUGAAAGAGAUGUCGUUUGUUGGAAUUCGAUGAUCACGAGCUGUUGCCAGAAUGCUGAACCGGAAUUGGCCAUUGACUUCUUCCAACAGAUGGGUGCAAUUGGAGCCAAGUAUGAUUGUGUCAGCAUAUCCAGUGCUCUUUCUGCUUGUGCGAAUUUGCCAGCUCUCCAUUAUGGGAAAGAGAUCCAUGGCUUCGUUAUGAAAAGUGCAUUAAGCUCUGAUCUUUUUGUGGAAAGUGCGUUAAUAGAUAUGUAUGCUAAAUGUGGGAACUUAGAGGUAGCUUGGCGCGUAUUUGACUUAAUGGCACACAAGAAUGAAGUAUCAUGGAAUAGUAUUAUUGCAGCUUAUGGAAAUCAUGGCCGACUGAAGGACUGCCUGAAUUUGUUUCAUGGAAUGAGAAAAGAUGGAUUCCAGCCUGACCACGUCACUUUUCUUGCGAUCAUAUCUGCUUGUGGCCACUCUGGUCGAGUUGAAGAGGGAAAACACUACUUCAAUUGCAUGACUAAUGAAUAUGGGAUUACACCGCGAACAGAGCAUUAUGCAUGCAUGGUUGACUUGUUUGGGAGAGCUGGUCUCGUGGAAGAAGCAUUUGGCGUGAUUAAGAGCAUGCCAUUUGCUCCAGAUGCAGGCAUUUGGGGGACAUUACUUGGGGCUUGUCGAUUACAUGGCAAUACCGAGCUUGCUGAAAUGGCUUCUGAGCAUCUUUUGAGCCUGGACCCCCAAAAUUCCGGCUACUAUAUGUUACAAUCAAAUCUACAUGCUAACGCUGGCAAAUGGGAUAUGGUUUCUAAAAUUCGACAUAUGAUGAAGGAAAGAGGAGUGCAGAAAGUACCUGGUUACAGCUGGACUGAAGUUAACAACAGCACUCAUAUUUUUGUUGCUGCAGAUGCGAGUCACCCGCAGUCUGCUCAGAUAUAUCUUUUAUUAGACAAUCUUCUAAUAGAGCUGCAAAAUGAGGGUUAUGUUCCUCAAAUGAAUCUUCAAAUACAACAGUCAUCAUCCCCAGAACUCUGUUGAUUAUUAACCAACUACAAGCAUAGAGCUUAGCUAAGUGCACUGUAUCCACAUUUCAGGUAGCAUAGGCAUUUCAUCUUUGUGUUGCAACAUUGAUUAAUUUAUACUUGACCUUACAAGUGGAGGAGAAAUGUACCAUUUAUAGUGUUUUGUUUUCUGAUUCUUUCAUUUGAUUCAUUCAUAUAACAGAAUACAGGGAAAUGUGCAUCUGUUACAAAAUAAAGCUUUUAAUUCUGAUCUCCAUUCAGUUCAGCAGUUUUCUUAGUCAUAGCACUGCAGAAAAUGGCUCUACCAUGAGACCAUCCAAGGGUGUGGGGGCGUGGAUGAAGUGAGUUGAAAAUCACGAGGUUUCAGGUUGUAAGUUUCAAUCGAGACAAAAAUCUAGCUUCGGUGAAUAGAGUUAUCUGAUGCUGGUCGAAAAGGUCAGGAAACUCGUGAAAUUAGUCCAGUGCACACAAACUAACCUGAACACAACCAUUAUGGGGGAGAAGGGCUCCAACAUGAGUCAUUCAAAAGUAGUAGGCUUUAUUAUAAAAGGAAAGUUAUAUUGAUUAAAAAAAUAUCUUGUAAGAUUCACCAACUGAAUACAUUAAUAUGCUUUGUCUGACCAAAACUAUAAGUUUUCUAACCAAACUAGUAGAGUCAUGCAUCACAUAAAAAUGUCAUUUUUAUCCCUUUAGUUUUUCUUUAAAUAAAAUACUACUAAGUAAUGUUUUUGGAGUGUUACUGUAAAAAUUCAAUUGAGAUGUUCAAAACUUCAUUAUCCAUUAACUAACAUUUUUUGUAUGCUAAAAUUCAAAUAUUAUGGAUAACAACACAAGUACAAACACAUAUCCAGUGUUAUUCCAUAGCAUGAUAUCCUUUCAAAUUGACUCGACUCUUUUCUUUGCUCGGCCUCUCACUUCAUUUCGUUCUUCUUCUUUACCAUUGCUUGAAUGAAGACCGUUUCAAACCAGGUAAGUGUACACAUUACUUACCUCUCUCUUGGAAAUAUAUUUCGAUAAAGUCUCGAUGGAUAUCCUAUCUUAUUAUCUUGUUUCUACAUACAUAUUCAUAUUCUUAUUGACUUUAAUUUCCUUUCCUAGAUACACUGUCUUGAACCUCCAUACAAAAAUACAACUAGUGGCAAACUAAAACCUAUUAUGCAAUGAUGGAAUUUAAAGACCAAAACAUGAAAAACUGAUUCCAUUACACAAAGGAAUGGCUUCAUUACCACAAAUUCAAAACCCAAAAAAUAAGAAUCUUAAUACAAUUAUUGUCCACCUUUUUUCUCUACCACAUUUCUUCUAUGAAGAAUAAUAUAAUGUGCUUUUUGUACAUCAUUUUAAUGCAAUCCAGAAGCAAGUUUUUAACUUUUUUUUCUAGCAGCAAUUAUUAACAUUAGGAAAUAGGGUAGGAUUCUUUUUUCCAUUUUGGAAUUUACAUGUCCCAUCGCUAGCUAUUUAGUGGAAACUUGUCAUUGAGGUAACAAAUUAAGAAUGAAUUGAAAUAAUUGAAAAAAAAUAAAUAGGUGUGCUUGUUUCCUGAUUUUCCCUAUUAAAAGGAAAUAUAAACGUCAGUGAUAGAGUCAUAAUUUUUAUUAACGGAUUCAAAUUUGAAAAGUAAACACCUGUUGACAGAGAUUUGAAUGAACCCCUUGAUCCUACCUGGCUCUGCCCCAGAUAAUAGAGAAUAUAAUAUGAUUUCUUUCAUUCUAGUUUAUCUUUCACAUGCUUAUAUGAUCAUAAUAAAGAUCAGUAUACCGUGAAGUAAUUGAAAAAAAAAAUGAACUACAAUUAAAAUAUGAUUUACGACGCUAAUCUGCCUUAAUUGGUACUUACUACUUAAUAUAAGCCAAUUACUAAUGAAGUCGCUUAUAGUACGAAAUAUUAGUGUUUCUUAAAAGUAUUCACAUGUUUUUUUUUUAAACAAAAUCGUGAUAUGAAUCAUAUAUUAGUGUUUUUUAAAUAUAUACGCAAAGCACCUUUAAAUAUUUUUUUAGAAAAAUCUUAAUUUCCUCUCAAUCUAACUCGAUGCUAACUUCUACCAUAACGCAUGUCAUGUGGUAUAAAAUUUCAGUGUUUAAAGAGGAAUCAAACCCUUAAAAAGGAAUAGUAGAACUUAAUCGAGUUUCAUUUUUUGUUGAAUCAAUUACUAAAUUUUCGAAGCCUUCGCCACUACUCUAGAUCAACUUUGAAUUGCUCGAUUGAAAUAUGAGAUAAUAAAUUCAAACUCCAUGGUACUCCUAUUUAUAUACAUGAUAUUCCAACGAGCUAAUUAAUUCAAAUUCCAAAUAAUUAAAGCCAUUAAUUAUAUAUAGCAUCUUCAUUUUUUAUUUUAUUUUUCUCAAACUCUAAUCACAAUUAUUAAUAGUACUACUAAUCCGCUGCUUAAUAUUUCUUCUUUUCUUCUUCUCAUAAGCAAUCCCCCUCGCUUUGGCUUGCGUGUCUCUCACUUCCUUCAAAUACAACCUCACUGCUCGAGCACCGAACGGAUUCGUCUCCGUCCGUCCUCCGUUCUCUUCGAAAGCAGCGCGUAGCCUCCCAAUUAGCGCGUCAAGGCUCCCCCACGCCUGUUUCAACGGGCAAUUGCACGGCGCCGGCGGAUGAGGAUCGCCGAAAAACGGACAAUUACAGCUGUGAACUUUCGUUUUUCCGAAUUGAUCUAGGUAUUUUAAGAAUUCUAGAAUGUUCGCUCCGCUGCAUCGCGCAAGUAUCAGUGGUGGCUUGUGGUUUCUCAAGUACUGUCCGAAUGUGUUCCAGUCUCGCCGUUUUUGUAGCUCGUAACGGCUCACCGUCGGUGGUGACGAAGGCGGCGGUAGUGGUAGUGUCGGCGCCGGCGCCGAUGAUAGGGAGAAGUUUUGUGAGACGGAAUUAAUGGUACUAUAUACGUCUAACAUGGCUGUGUUACUUUUGUGUGGGUAUUUUUUGAAGUUGUUAAGACUCGCUAUAUAUAGGAUGUAAAAGAGUGCAAAUAGUUUUACUUCUUAUGGGUUCAUGAUUUGAUUCAUACCACUCGCGUUAGGGUCCGGUGUACCGGAUGAGGUUAUUCAAAGUCUCGAAUAUGAAUUUUGGAAUUAAAAAAAUUAUUGAUAAGAAGUAGUCGAGUGUUGUUUUUGAAUGAAAUAUAAAUUGUAUUAAUCGAAUUCUAAUAUAAAUAUAGAAAAUAAAAAAUAAAUUCACUUAUCUCAUUUAGCUUUUCAUUCGGCAUCAAGCGGCGUCUAAUAGAUUCUGUUAAUAGAAAGGAUAUUUGAUCCUAUAAUUUGAUGAGAAGACCAUAUUUAAGUCGAAAUAUAGUUUAAGGAUAUAUUUUGAGCUAUGUAUUAUUUCGAACAGUUUAAAGAUAUUUUUAACCCUUUUUGUAGAAAAAAUAAUUUCCAGAGAAAAUAUCUCAAUUACUUGGGGCUAAUUUUGGUAUGUUGCGAUAAAAUUUAGUACAAUUUUGUCUCUUGUGUAGUUAUUGAUUGUAAAAAUAAAUAUAUAUGAAGGCAAAUAAUUAGUAUCAAGAUAAGUUAUUUUAUUUAUAGUAGAAUAACAUUAGCAAAAAUAGUUUUUCGGGUAUAAAAUAACAAAAAUGUCAAAAACAUUUUCCAACUAAAUAAGGUAAAGGGAUAUUAUUGUAAACAAAUCAAAUCAUUAAUAAAUAAUAAUAACAAGAUAUUUAUUUUUUUUAAGCUCUUUAUUUCUUUUUUACUCCACAAGUAAAGUUCGUGUAUAAGUGUGAAUAAAUUAAAUAUAUUGUGAUUUGGUUCAGAAGAUCAAAUUAUUUAACGUUUAAUGUGUAAAUUUCCAGAACUUACAAAUAAAACUUUGAAUUAUAGUCUACCUAGUUAUGAUGGUAUUAUAACGUGGUAGUAGUAUUUAUUUCAUUAGAUCCAAUAAAUAGCAAAGAUUGUUAUGCAAUAUUACCACAUAAAUUAUUAUUUAAAGAAUUUUAGAAAUUCUAAUUUUCUUGUACUCAUAAAAUAAGAAGUAGAAAUAGUGAAGGGAGAGUUGCUAGACCAUUUAUAGGAAAAUGUAAUGGCCCAUAGAGAAGGAACAAAAGAAGAUAAUGAGACCAAUAUGAGUUAUAAUAAUAUAGUGAUAUGUAUUGUUGAAAUAUCAUCUCGAAUUAACACUCAUGCUUUAAUAUGUGCUUCGAACACUCGACUAAUUUAUUUUAUGAAAACAAAAUAUAUGGAAGGAUGGGGCCCAAAGAGUGAGGACAAAUUAAAGUAAUAUCACUUCAACUAGUCAUGUCAAAUGUAACUUCAAUUGUUGUCUUAUCAGUUUCACCCUUCCUUUUAUCCGUGUGACAGUGGGUUAACUUGUAUUGACCAUUGGAAUGUUUCGUGUGGCCGGUAACUUUUUUGUUUCCUCCCUUUGCCUUUUUUAUUUUUUAUUUUUAACUUUUAGGUGCCACUAGAAUUUAGAGCAAAUAACAAAACUUGAUCCUCUCUACAUCUAACGAUAACAAUAGUUUAUUUAAAUUAAUUUCAUAUAGUGAAAUUCAAAAUAAAGUGAUGUAUACAAAUUUUAUUUUUAUCUCAAUAUUUCUGACUAGGUAACUUUUUAUUUUAUAAUAUAUAAUUAUUGGUAGUAUUCAUUGUUGGCCUCAGUACGCAGAGUAUGUUGUCUUGGUUUUAAUCAACAUGACUCUUUAGACAUCAAAAGUUGUCUUUGAACUUCCAACUUAGUAUCAAAAAUCACUAUGAGUCUAUCCGAUCAAAAUUAUCUCAUUGGUGAGGCGGAGCUACCGGUAUGGAAGGGUGGUCAGCGAUCACUGAGUUUUGGCCAAAAAUAUUUUUUAACUAUAUGUCAAACUUAAAUUAUAGCCCUAAAAUAUCAUUUUUAGCAGAUAACUAUAUUCAAAAUUAAACUAUAUCUUUAAAGUAUCAUUUUCAGCAGAAAACAUCCUUUAAGUAUUUUUACGUGAACAAUUUUCAUCCUUUUGUUAGAUAUUGUCAAAAGAUUAAGGGAUCUUACGAAAACAUGAGCAAUUAAUGUGACUAUCAACAAAUUUUAUUAUGCAUAAUUUCAUUAAAUCUACAAUAAAUUCUUGAAAAUAUAAAAAAUCUUAGACACUGUUGCUUAUGAAAACUAUAAAUGAUUAGAAGGUGUGAGCGUACAUGAUUUGCCUUUUGCGCAACAGAAAGAAGUUGGAGAUUAAUUAUUUUUAUCUUUUUCUUAACCAAUUAAAUUAUUAGAUUUUUGGGUCAAUCUAAUAUCGAAGUGACCAAAAUAUUGAUUAUGUCUUGUAUUUGAGUUUCAUUCUACAUUAUUUGAAGGGGAAGUCUCCAAAAAAUGUCGCUUCUAGCAUAUUUAAUUGAGAAGAAACUAUUUAAAUUAAUAAUAUUUUAAAUUAAAAUUAUAUGAAAAAUGAAUGAAAAAGACGGUCAAAUUAAAAGAUUUUGCAUAAUUCUUAACUCAAUUAAGAAAAAGUUCGCGAUAAUAUUCUUGGCAUAUAUAAGAAUAACAAUUAGGAAGGGACGGCUUAUUUUUUGAGGGAUAUAUCAAUUAAGGAUGAAAAUUAUUUACUUUAAAAUACUUUAAGGAUGUUUUAUGAUAAGAAUAUACUUUAAGGCUGUAAUUUGAGUUUGAGGUAUAGUUUAAUGAUGAUUUUGGCUAAAAUUUCAAAAUAAUUAAUCUCCAACCUUUUUCAAUUACGGAAAAGGCGAAUCAUGUACGCUCACACCUUUCAAUCAUUUUUAAUUUCCAUAAGCAACAAUGUCUAAGAUUUUUUAUAUUUUUCAAGAACUUCUUGUAGAAAAUAAUGAAAUUAUACAUAAUAACUUUUGUUGAUAGUCGCGUUAACUGCUCAUGUUUUUGUAAGAUCCCUUAGUUUUUGACAAUAUCUAACAAAAGGAUGAAAGUUGUUCACUUACAAAUACUUAAAGGAUGUUUUCUGCUAAAAAUGAUACUUUAAGAAUGUAGCUUAAAUUUGGGGUAUAGAUAAAUGAUGUUUUAUGCUAAAAAUAAUAAUUUAAGGAUGUAGUUUAGAUUUCGGGUAUAGUUAAAAAAUGUUUUUGGCCAAAUUAUACCCUAUAUAUAAAUAAAAUGCUAUAUAAUAUUGCGAUAUAUAAUUAAUUGAACACCUAUGACAAAGUCUAUUGGUCUGCUGGUAAGCAUGUUCAUUUACGUGCAAGAGGUCCUCAGUUGCAACAUGUUUUUUAAAACAUAAAACACACUCUCUUUUCAAUUAUGUGUAAGAGAUCUGUAUUAAGUGACUUAUUAGGUAUACACAUUCUCAAGAUUUUAUUUUAAAGAAAAAAUUAAAGAUUAUUAUUUAUUAUUAUACUUUUGAGUAUUUCUAAAGUAUCUUUCUAUUUAGAAAAAGUAAAAUAGUUAAGAAUUUGAAAAUAGGAGAAAAAAACUCAUCAUAAUCGUGAAAGUCACUCUCAAAAGGCUCAUCAUAGCCCUUUUUGUGACUCGACUCAAGCUCAUCAUACAUUAUUCGAUAUUUGAACUAUUCAGUUAUUUAAAUUACAAAAAACACUCGACAAUUUAUUUCAUAUGAACUAGAGGGAGUAUAUUUCAAGCAAAAAUUAUUUUGUGACUUUUGUCCAUUAGUUUUGAUUUAUUCCAUCGAUAGUUUUAUCAUUUUAAAUUUCCGCAAGAUUUAGUUACUAAGUGAUGUGUAAUUUAAUUUCUCACACAUUUGCAAAAAUAAAUUUUGUGUACCCACUUCGCUAAAAAAAUUAUCGACUCUUUUAAAGUUUGAACAACCUCGGCGAAAUUUCUGGCUCCGCCACUAUUUGGCGAGUAACAUACUCAUCAUACACUUUCUUGGAUAUAUCGCGUUAAUUCAUUCAUCAUCAAGAUAAAUGAUUUUGAUCUAAAAGUUGAUGUCUGGUGCAACCUCUUCAUAGUGGAAAAGUGCUUUUUUUUCUUCUAGGUCUUGACUCCUUCAUACAUGUCCUUGAUCUUCUAAAUAUACGUCAUAGAGUCUGGCAUUAAUACAUACAUUUUAUGAACCCUAAACACCCAAAGGGACCUCCAAAAAAAUUUGGUGUGUGUUUUAUAGAGGGUCCCUUUUAGUGUUUAGGGUUUAAAAAAGUGUCCGUUUUGAUAUCAGACUUCUACAUACCUCCAAUUUCCAAACAUCUCCAAAAAACCUCCUUCAAGACUCUGUCUAAAAAACUUUCCAAUCAAUGAACAUCAUAUGCAAGUUUUUCUAUUUGACUGUACUUAUUUAUCAAUCUCUUUAUAAUGACUUUUGAAUACAUGUGAAACAUGCUUAGAUAUCAAGUGUAUAGAAUAAAUUAUAUCUAAUUUUGACUCAUAUGUAUCUAUUUUGUAAAGUUCUAAGAGAAAAUAUAAUUAGAAAGUAUAGUUUCAACCGAUAAAUAACACAAAUGUAAAUGUGUGUUUUGUGUUGUUUCCUCUUAAUUUAAAUACAAUUCAUUCAAAUUUGAAUGCACUAGUGAUCUACUUUUUUAUUAGUUCAAUCUAUUUCAGUUUGUUAAAAUAUUAGUUCAUAUAUAAAUCAAAUCGGUUAAUGAAAAGUGAGUUUUAUGUAUUUUGAAUUAGUAUUUUAAUUAUUAAAAAUUAUCUAUUUUUUUUUAAUACAUACUAAAUUUUAUACUAUAGAAAAUGUUAAAAUUUCUAAAUUAGCUUGUUUGCUCUUGAAAUCGAAACCUCCCCACAAAUUGGGACAGCGGGAGUAAUUUCAAUUUUGCUAUUUGAAAAAACAGAGGAUUUUCCGUUGGGGUUUAACCGGAUCGGGCCUUUUCAUCUCCGGUAAUCUUUCUCGUUUUGUAAUUCUCAUCGUACUUCUGCUUUGUUAUUAACUGUACUAGUUGUGGUUUCAGUAAAGUUUAGCUUCGUAUAGUUGUGAAUUCAUUCUCUUGUGGCGGCUUAAAUCAAGGGUUUGGUUGUCAGUGUUAUAGCAAACGAAGAUUCUGUUCAGAAGAUUUAGAGUUCUUUUUUGUUGGAAAUUUUGAGGUUGUGAUUUUGACCUAAAACUGUUAAUUUCAUAGAUAGAGAGAUAUUUGUAUGUUAGUAAUAGGGAACCUCUAGGGUUAUGAAAACCUAAAUUAUUGAAUAUUGGAAUAGAUGGGGUUCUAAUGGAGAGAAUUCAUAUAGUAAACCCAAACUAAUUCGGGAUUGAGGCAUACUUCUUGAUUACUGAGCUAAAUUAGAGAUAAAGAGUAAGAGGUGCAGUUGGGAUUGAUUCAUUUCUCACUUUAAUAACUAUCUAAUUUUACAGUUUUAGGUUUUGUAAACUUUUUUAGUGCAUACUAAUAACUAUCUACCCUUUUGGUUUGCUUGGGAUUGCUAGCUCCUUAGCUUUAGUUUAGGAUACUUGUAUGAGUGCUGAGAUUUUUUUUAUGCCCUUCCGAAUUAGAGCUAAGCGGUCGCAUAUUUUGUAAUCUGGCAUCUACCCGAUGCCCAUUCAAGGAUAAUUUUUAACCUUAUCAAAAAGACAUAGUUGCAGCAGUAAUUUUUUCCGAUGUACCUAUUGAUUUAACAAUGUGAACACCAAAUUUAUGCAGAUGUCAUGGUAGUUUUUACUUGGAGAUAAGAGUUUACUGUUUGUUAAAUUUCAAAGAAGAGUUUACUGUUUGUUACGAGGGAUGGGCUUCAGUUUUAGAGGGUCUCACUUGAUGGCUUUGUUCUCUUUGGUACAAAAGAACUAUUCUUGUAAUAAGAUGUGGAUGAAAUGUCAUUUAGGAAUGAUGGGAAAUAUAUUUUUGAAGUGGUUUGUACAUUUCAGAAUCUUAGGAAUUAUUUCUCUUUGCUACUCAGUCCAUUAGGCCAGUUCAUGCUUUGAUAGUUUUGGCUAUUUGUGUAGUACUUGAUUACAUCUGAUGACAUUAAUUUUAUCCAUUUUAGAACCAAAGUACCAACAGAUUUCAGCUCAACAGCCAUUAGUUAUGGACCACUUUGGAGGAGGAAGUUGGACAAUGAUCCCCAACAUCCAAACUCACAGUAAUCCUUCGACACCCUCCAAUCAAGACAAUUUAUUUCUUCAGCAACAGCAAUUUCAACAACAACAGUUCAUUCAACCGCAGCUCUAUCAGCAACAACAGCAGCAGCAGCAGCAACAACAACAACGGUAUCAACAACAGAUGCAACAGCAACAAAUGCAGCAGCAGCAACAGAUGCAGCAGCAGCAAAUGCAGCAACAACAACAACAGCAGCAGCAAAUGCAGCAACAACAACAACAGCAGCAGCAGCAACAACAACAACAGCACCACCAAUCACUUGCCUCUCACUUCCAUCUUUUACAAGUAUUGGGCAAAAACCAUGAUCUGUAGCUUGCUAUUUUAAUAGAGUAACGAGACAUUUCUCUUUCCUAGUGAGACCUUUUGUUCUAACUUUUAUUGUCAUCUUACAGCUGGUGGAGAAUUUAGCUGAUACAAUUGAAAAUGGAAAUCGAGAUCAGCACUCAGAUGCAUUGGUUUGUUCAUUUCUUGAUUGAUGCAUUAUAUGUUAGUUUUCCAUUUCUUCUACAUUAAACCGGGUGUAUUUUUCCUCACCAGGUAACUGAAUUGAAAAAUCAGUUUGAGAAGUGCCAGCAGCUGUUGACAUCAAUAUCAGGGUCUAUUAGCUCAAGAUCUAUGGUAUUUCAUUUUCACACAUAUCCUUUGAUUUCUGUUGUAACUUGUUCUGAACACACCCCCAACUCAAAAAAUAAAAAGAAAAAAGAGAGAGACUCCAACAAAGAGUUAAGCGCAAUAAUAUGAAAACAGAACUUCAAAAUUAUUCUUUUCUGGAAGAGUUGGAUUGUUUUUCUUUUGGCUGUGUUAUUGCUUUUAAUUGUGCUUUUCCAUUUGGGCCUGUUUGUUCAACUUAUAGUUGUGAAGAAUUUUACUGAAAAGUGGGGUUCAAUAUGUUUGAAACGAUGUUGACUUGAACAAAGUUGCUCCACAAAUUCUUAUUUGGUUGCAUGUUUUGAUGCUUAAAUAUGGGUAAGAUAAUUGACCAGUCCUGUGUUCUUUGGACAGACAGUUGAGGGACAAAAGCGCAAAAAGGCAGAGUGCGAACAAAUGCUAAAUCAGCGAAGGUUUGUAUUAUAUAUAUAUAAAACACACACACACACACAUAUAUAUAUGUGUGUGUGUGUGUGUUUCUAAUAUUGUCUACUGAAAUUUGUAUAAUUAUUAUUUGCUUCAUCUGAUGGUCAUGUUUCAUGCUUAAUUACAGGGAUCUUAUUUCGAGGUACAAAGGCUCAGUUGAGGAGAUUAUUAACUCUGAACUAUAGCUCAUACUCGCAUUUUAACCAAGGUAAAAUUAUGCGCUGCAAGUUGUUUUUGGCCUGCCCAAAAGAAGUUGAGUUGAAUCACCUGUCAUUUUGAUUUUACUAGAUGCAAGUGAAACAACUAUGCAGUGUUCUGGAUGCAGUCAAUUUGUAGUUUGUUGUAAUACAUGAGAAUAAAGUGCUCAUGAGAAAUUUUUAUUGAUGUUACUGUUGUAAUCACUAUGGCGCUCGCCACAAAUGACUGCUCUGACUGUACUGAGAACAUAAAAUGUUUUGGGCCAAGGUUAUGAUAAAGUAAUGCAUUGCCUUCUUAACUGACUGAUUGUAUUUAAAUCUAAUUACAUCAAAGUGAAGCAAAUAAUUGAAGUAACGGUGCUACCCGGGCUCUAGUCAGGCACCUGGAUAGCUGAUUGUUCAGUUUAAUACUUGACUAGAAAUAGUCUAAGCAUUUAAAGUAAUUUAAGUAGCCUGGAGAGUUGAUCUUUCCAUAUAUGGACUUUGAGGGCAUCCGGGAGUGAUCUAUGUUACAUAUCACGUACAUCGAGAACUUCCCGAAGACAUGGCUUUAGAAAAAUGUAUGUUUGCCUAAGUUGUUGGGAGAUUUGAUUUGCUUAAAGAUUAAUAUUUUUGUUACCUUAUGUAUUUUUUUGAGUUGAAUUCAAUGCUACAUAGAAUUCAAAUCAGCAUUAGGAACUUCACAAAUAAGUUGGACAUCGCUAGCUAUCGAAAUAUCUAAGUUAUUAUUUGCAUCAUUCAUAAUCUAUUCUCAGAAAUCGUUAAAUAUUCAUUUAAAGUGCACUUUAACUCUGAAGCUAGGUGAAGUCCGAGUUGGGCGCUUUGCCUUGCUUAAUUGACACCUUGGCUCAGGCAUCAAGUAGCUAAAUAGUGUCCUUGUCAUUUUUAGGAAGUUAGACUAUAGAGUAAAUGUCAACUUAGUUGACGGAUUGAUACAAAAUGCUGUUUUAUAUAUUCUUAAUCGUUACGAAUAAGAAACUAGAAAUUAGAAAUACGAAACUAGAAAAGAAGAAUAGUUAGUGAAGACUUACAACUGAAUUACAUCCAAAUUAGAAAUUCAGUUUCACUUAAUCAUAGUAGUUCUGUUAAGUUUUCUAUCCAAAUGAUUAGUGUAGUAUUAUUUUUUGUGUAGUUAUUUUUCCUUGCUCUACAUAUAUAUUUUUAAUAUUAUUCAUCAGUGUUUUUCUUUGCAUAUGACCUCACUUAAGCUUUUCCUCUCAAGUCCCAACAGAUUUUGGUGCUUUUCUACGCGUUUCACCUAUAAUAUCUCUCGAUAGUUUCAAAUGGAGUAUUCCUCUAGUAGCUGGCUCAAAUUCUUAUUUCAGGAUAUAUUUUGUAAUCCAUGCUGGAUCUGCAUACCAUCUACUGAAGUAAAACAUCUUGAGUCACUAAAAUUCCUCUAUGCUGGUUCUGAGAUCUUGCCAUUUUUCUGUUUAUAUAUGUGACAGAACUUGGCUAAAGUGAAAUAUGAAACAUUAUCAACAAUGAUAUGACGAAACUUUAUUGAACAUCUGAAUUUUCCCAUCUGAUGAAACUUUUUCUUGGCACAGGUAAAACACACUAGCAAACUUCUCCGAGCAUUAGCAUCAUCAUUGUCAUGAGGAAUUUGCAGAAGAACAUUAAAUUCGAGCUAGCGAUGAUGAAUCCUCGAGACUCCAUCAUCAGAUAUGUCUUUAUCAUGUAUUUCCUACAAAACCUAUUUAGUGUUUUAACCUUGUUUGGAUGCAAAUGAUUGCAUCUUCCGCCAUUUAUUUCUAUGAGACUAGACAUCUAGAACUGUUUCCUUUUUUGACCUGUUGACUGCCUUAGCUCUAUUACAAUCAUCAAACCUUAAUUGGAGUUUGCUGGUACCAAUGGUUAGGAAGAGCUACUACACUAGGAAGGCGGCCAAGAUAGAUGACCUACACACAAAAAUUAAAUAAUUCGUAUCGGCAUUUAUAUCAAAUCUCUGUAUGUAUUUGAAUGUUCGUUUAUAAUUGUAAGAUGAAUGUCAUUGAUUUGAGCAAAUAACAGUCGUUAGAAUGGGAUUGUUAACUGUGAUUUGAAUCAAAUACUAUGAAUUACUAAUACUAUAUGCUUUGUGGUCCUUAAAAUAGAACAAUAAUUUAUGGUAUUAUUUAGAGGGUAUUGAUACUUACCCACCUCAACUACACGAAAACAUAAUUUCUUUGUACAAUUUGACGUCAUUUAAUUUUAGGUAUUAGCACUUUUGACUUCUGUACGAGUGAGAGGAAAAAAUAAUUCUCUUACCCAAAAAAUGCCACAUUUUAUUAAAGCUUGAAAAGAAAAAUUUCGUUGAACUCUUAUUUUGGAAAAAGGGUUAAAAAAAAUGUCUUUAAACUGUGUGAAAGGAACAAAAACGCUGUUAAUUCUUUGGCGCACAAAUGCUCUUACUGUCAAUACUUUAGUUCAAAAAUGCCCUUGCAGUCAAUAAUACUUUGGUCCAUAAAUGCCCCAAUAGUUACAAAAUGAGUCGAAAAUGCUUUUUUUCAAAUAAAUAUAUUAUUAUUUUUCUUUUUAAACAUAUCUUCUUCCUAAUUAAAAUAUUAUUAAAGAACACUAUUCUUGUUUCUUUCUUCUAAAAUCACUUUGACAAAUAAAAAUGGUUGGAAAUAUUCUUUUUCUUCUAAGUCUCAUUUCAUCAAUUAAAUGGAAUAAUUUCAUGUAUCCUUUUGAUAAAUAAUAUAUGCCAUAUAUAUAAAUUGAUAGUAUAUCUAUCACUAAUUUAUAUUUAUAUAAUAAUAAAAAAUAUUGAUGGUAAAAUAAAAUUUGUUUCAUUUUUUUUUUUGAAAUAAAGUAAGAUAAACAUUUGCUAUUUUUUUAAAAAAAUUAAUUGAAAAAAAUGUGUCAAAAAGAAAAUAAUACAAUAUUUAUUUGGAAACUAAUUUUUUUGACUCAUUAAAUAACAAUAAGGGCAUUUUUGGAUCGAAAUAUUAAUGACGAGUAUUUUUGGACCAAAAUACAAACGAGACAUUUUUAUUCUUUUUGCGCAAUUUAAAGAUAUUUUUAAAUUAAAUUAUUGACGAUAAAGACAUUUUUAAGCCAAACUAUAAACAAAAGAGAGAAUAAACAAAAGAGAGAAGAGAGUACUGUUGCAAAGCAAGUUAAGUUUAAAUAUAAUUCAAAAGCAUAAGCUAGGCAUUUAAUAAUUAGUGCUUAAAAAUCAAGUAAGGAAUGGAAUUUUCUUUUUGUUUUUCUCUGCUUUUUUCUUUUGGGUUUAAAUAAAUAUAAUAAUAUUACAUUUAUGUUUUUUUCCAGCUAAUAUAAAAAUAGAAAUUCAAGUAAUUUAAUGUCAUUAAUGGAAUUUCGGUUGCAGUCAGAUAUGCUCAUAAAUUAGUAUGUGAUGAAUCUCGUGAACCUUUCAUUUUCAAAAAAUUUCCCUCCUUUCACCUCAAAAUCAAAUCAGUUUUUCGAAAAUCGAAAGAAUAAGAAGCUGAUGAGUUCUCUCCGAUCCCCAAAAUACAUUUAGAUUACCACAUAAGAGAGUGAUUUCAGGUUAUAAAACAGUAAAUCGUAAUGGGAAGUGGCGAUGAUUAUUGCAGUAUCUCCAUUAUCACAGCUAGGGCUUGUACUGAGAUUAGAAAAAGAAGAUCGGAAACUUGUAGCCGGAGUUUUACUACUUGUAUAUCGCCGAGAUGGAUUUUCUCCCGGUGGUUCGAAACAGGGGAGAGAAAUAAGGACGCAGAGAAAGUGAAUCAGCUUCAAUGUGGAAGCACCAGAAAUAAGGGGAAGAAGACGAAGAAGAAGAAGGAGACGGGAUUUGACACCAAAUCAUCUACCGCAUUGGAAGAUCAAGGUAAAUGUUCUUCACCUUGAUGCUCUGUUUUGGGCUCCCAUUAAUAUGACUUCGAGCUGCAUAAAGUUCUUAUUAAAACAGUGAAACACUUUCUAAUAAAAAAAAUUUCAUUCUCAAAGUUUGGAAGUUCGAGAAUUUUGAUUAUGAGAAAAAAAAAUUAUAUCUAUUUUAUCAUAAUUUUUGAUGGUACAGUCUGUUUGAAUCAUUGUUAUUCAUUGUUUCAAAAUGUAUUAUAUUUUACUGUGUUUGGCUAGACUCUAUUGUUCGUUGUUGUUUGAUGAUAUUUUUAUUGUAUGAUUUGACUGCAUCAUACUGUAUUGUAAUUUAUAAAAUUUACCAAAAUAUUCUUAAUAAUUCUAUAGUAAGAGAUUUAACUAGAAUUAUAUGAUAUAUUAUGUCAGGAUAUAAUUAGAAAAAGAAAUUAAGUUACAAUAAGAACACAUCAAAUUAAUUGUUCCAUAAAAUGAGAAUUUUUAUUAUUAUUCAACAACGAAAUUUAACAAUAUAAUACAAUAUAUUGUAAAUAUGAUAACAAAACAGUACAAUAUAAUGCAUAUAUGAUUUUAUAUUGUGUAUAAAAAUAUAUAUGAGUCAUUUUAAUAAGUAACGAAGAAGAUAUUACCUUUAAAUGCUAAAUUGUUACGACUUAAAUACAUGAACAUAUACCAAAAGAUUUAAAAAUUAUGUUUAUUCGAAAUAUAUUUUUAAAAAAGUUUUAAGUCAGGGAGAGAGCCACCAAACGCUAAAGAGAAAUAAAUAAUUGGAGUAUACAUUUCGAAAAUUUAGGUGCAUGGAAAAAAUAUCAUAUUGAUGUCAUUUAAGGCUAGGCAUUUGCUCAUCGUUUUAAUCUAUGUUUGGCCAAUCAAGAGGUGAAAAGUUUAUUUUAUUUUUUUUGCCAUUUCAUAUUAAUUGAAUUUUUGCAAUUUUUUUUUAUAAUUCAAGAUAAAUGUUCCAUUUUUUUUAUAUAUUUGUUUAUUUAUACUUUUUUAGAUGAUAAAGUUCAAGAGAGUUAAUUGCUUAUAUUUAUAAUUUUAUUUUUAAAAAUAAUUUGACAAUGAUUAAAAAAGUAAAAGUGGAAAGUAAUAUUUAAUUUAUAUCCUUAUUUUUUUCCCAUAAUAGGUGUGCAUAAUAUGAAUUAAAUGAGAGUAUAAAAAAGUGAGGUACUUGAUGGAACUUCUGGAAAGGAAUAAAUGUUUAUGUGGGAAAAUAUUAAAUAAGAAAAGAGAUAAUUCUUAUGACCAUAAUGAUCCAAAUAUAAUAAUAAUAUCUUAACUUUAUAAUCUGUUUUUUUUUUGGUUGAUAUUCUUACUCCUUUUAAUAUUUAAAAUUUUCUCAGUAAUUAGCCAUUUCCUUUAUUUCAAAAGAAAAUUUUAAUAUUAAUUUUUCACUUUUGCCAUUUUAAUUUUUUCUCAAAUAAUUCUUGAAAAUAUAAUUCAUUUACAGUAUAAUUGUAAAUAUGAUCAAUUAACUCUUUUGUCACUUUAGAAAAUAUAAACAAAAAAAAAACUGUAUCUCUUUUAACGUUGAAUAAUUCACUAUUAUUAUGCCAUGGCAUAAGUUGGUCCAUGAUAUUUGUUAUUUUAUAAAAUUAAUGUAUAAAUUGCAAUAGGGAUAAUACAUAAAUGUAUUUUAUAACUUGGCUUCAAAUUACGUUUAUGCUCUUCAACUUUGGAUGUGCACAAAUAGACACUUAAACUUGUAUAAAGUUGAACAAAUAGACACACAUGUCCUACAUGACAUUUUUUGUCCUACGUGGUGUCUUACGUGUAUUGUGUCAUAUAGGAGUCAUGUGUUUAUUUAUUUAAAAGUUGAAUAACUAAAGUGACGGUUUGUGCAUUAUGAAAGUUGGAGGUCAAAGUUAAAAUUUAAAGCAAAAUUUAGGGUCCAAUAUAUGUAUUAUGUCAUCGCAAUAUUUUUAUUAUUAUAUCCUUGAUAGUUAAUUAGUCUUGAAUAAUAGUUUGACCAACUUAAUAAAUUAAUAAGUAAUUAAUGUUCAUUGUAAUGAACAUUAAUUACUUAUUAGUUUUCAUAGAUUGGUCAAAUAUAAUCAACUAUCAAGGUAUAAUAGAAAGAAUAUUAUAAUUUAUGAAUUAAUUUUAUGAAAUAUUAAAUAUUACAGAUCAACUAUUUUUAAUAAGAAUGACAUAUAAAAAAGAGCGGAGAAAGUAAUUACUUGAUACAUUGAAAAAUUACUCUCGCCAUUGCACUACUCUUAAAAUCUAAUUCUGACAAGAAAUUUCAACAAACAAAUUAAUAAUAAAAGACAGGAAAAAAAAAUAAUCUUGAAAAUUGAAGCUUCAAUGAAAAUCCAUGAAAAUACUCUUUUCGAAAUUAUUUAUGAGAAAAUAAAUUUAGAGUCACUUUUCAAAAGAUUAGUCAAACACAACUCAGAUGGUGGUCUUUAAAUAGAUUAGUCAAAUGCAAAUUGUUCAUGUACUUUAUUUUCAAAAUAAGUUAUUUUUAGAAGUUUGUCCAUAUACUCUAUCCGUUUAUAAUUAAUUGUCAUAUUUUUUUUAGAGUUAAAUUAUAAGAACUUUGAUAAAAAUUUUAUGAUAUAUUUUUCAUCAUAUUGAUAUGCAAAAAGUUAUAAUUUAUAGUAUUUUUCGUAUAGUUUUUGAAUAUCUAUUUUUUUUUAAAAAAAUAUCGAAUUAAUGUAAUCAAUUUAAUUUUAAAAAUUAGUCAAAUUGACUUUAAAAAAAUGUAACUUGACAAAUAAAAGUGGACUGAGAUAGUAUUAAUUAUUGGAUAUGACCAUGUUUGCUUUGAAAUAGAAAACUAAGACAUACUGCGUGGGCAUUUGACCAUGUUUUAUCGUGAAAUUAAAAAAAAAGUAAUUUUUAUUUUUCAAAUUGGAUAAUGAUAUCUGAAAAUUCGAAUUUCAAUAAAUAAGAUUCAAUUAUUGAAUUUGUUCAUUUUGCAGUAACAUAAAUGAAAUUUCUUACUUCAAGUAGAGAGUCUCAUGCAAUCCAUAUAAGAAUUUGCCUUUAUUAAGUGAAUUAACAUGCAAUCCAUAUGAGAAUUUGCCUUUAUUAAGUGAAAUUUAUUCGUGAUAUAAUAAGCCUAAGCAGAUUUAUAUAUUUCAUACUACAUUUUGUGAUUUGAUCUUCCCUGAAACACAUUAAUCGACAUAUUCAUGCAGGAGGCGAAAAGAAAGCAGAUUCUAUGAACUUAGGCAUCGGAUUUGGUCUAAUUUAUCUGUUUAACUCUACCAAGAAUGAGCUCAACAAGAUCGUUGAGAUUCGUCGAGAAAUGGAAAUCCUGCUUCAUAAUUCCAAGAUGGAGUUACAAAACCAAAGAAGAAUCAGAAGUAAUCCAUCUGGUGCAUCAAAUUUAAGAACCAAAAUCUCACACUAUGAUUCCGAUUCUGUUGAACAGUUUGCAUACUCAACUGAUAUAGAAGAAGAAUCAGAAAUCACUUGCAGCCAUGAUGAUGAUCACCCUUUAAACUGCAAAUUGAUGAAAGGAAAUGGAAAGAAUUCGGAAAUGAACCAACUUGAAGCAGAGCUUGAAGUCGAAUUAGAACGUUUGCAGUUCCAUUUAGAUUCAGAUAUUAUGUUCAAAUAUCCAACAAAACCAGAUGCAGAGGUAAUCCACCUUUGAGUAUAACAUAACUAUAGUCAAUUGCUUUUAGUUUAGCAUGAGCAUCGCGAAAAAAAGGUAUAAUUUUUUAUACUUGUUUUGUGGCAGAUUGUGGAUGAAUAUAGCUCAGGGGAAGGAAGCCAGAGCACAAAAUUUGCAGAGGUCUACAACCCUAACUGUGGCGUUCCUGCCGAAGAAUUGAAAAGGAGGCUGCAUGAGCUUCUACAGACAAGGCAAGAAGAAAGGAUCAAAGAACUGGAGUCAGCUUUAGAAUCCACCAUGCAAAAACUUGCAGACAAAGAAAAAGAGGUAUGUUGGUGGAGAGACACUGCUAAGGUCAUUUCUCAACAUGCUCCAAGUCGUCUUUCACUUACUAAGUUGAGUUAAAAACAACACCCCACCAACCUUGAAGGAAACUUUCCAAAGCUUUUUUGGAUAGAAAAAAUUAGGAAAAGGUUGAUUGCCUAGGAAAAGUGAACCUUUUUCCAUGUAUACAGUUUCAUGUAAAAGAAAGGUGAAGGAAAUAAACCACAACUUAUAUAUCAAAUACUAAAGUUUAGUUUGCAAUAGACUGAUAGUAUAUGGAGGCAUCAUGAACAAUAGCAUCAUCACUGGCUUAAUAACUUCCAUAAGAAGAAAUUUAAGCCCCUUUCGACAUGUUUGGUGUGAGCAUUUAAAAAAAUAAAGUAAUUAUCGCCAUGUAUGUGGCGGCAUAGAGACUACCUCAAUACAUAGGUUCUUUGCAACUACGAAAGAAACACAUGCGUACUGUUGACUGUUAUUAUUGGACAUGAAAUAUUGUUAAUGCAACAACAAAUGUGGGAUGACCUGUAAACUUUGUAGUAUUAUUUUGCUCUCUCAUUGAAUUCUUCCAGAAGUUUCUCAAUCGUCUUCCUUGAUACAAUUUUUUCAAUCUCGAACACCCUCAUCUCAGCAGGUAGACCUGCAGAAAAAAAAGCAAAAUAUGGCCUUCAAAACAAAUAUAAUCUUGAGAUGGAUCAAGUUCUAUAUGAAAAAAUAUAGCUCACUGACCUGAUUGGCGCAACGCUCUGAGUGGUAGUAAAUUUGCAUAGGAGUAGAUAAAAUGGAGCAGGCUUUUCAUAAGCUCAGCAGAUUCAGCUGAGACUAGAAUCUCCCUCUAAAAUUGAAAGCCAGGAACAUGAUUAGAUUGCUUGAACAUCCACAAAAUUGUAUCAAAUAUAAGAUAUAUCCAGAUUAUACAAGUACACACAAUACAUAGUCAUCUAUGCACUAUGAUCCUUCAUCCUAGUUUCUACCCUUAAUAUGUAAACUCACUGCAAAUUCAAGAUGUGGCCUUCUCAUGUUAUAGUUUACAGAAGCAUGAAAAAAGAAAACAAUUAUAGCCAUGAUCUCGUUUACCAAAAUCUGAAGCUGUUAUGCCAUCAUCAACAUCGGUUAGCAAGCUCCAUUUGGAUCAUGUUAAGUUCUCUUCUGUUUCCAAAUAUAAGUAAAGUCGCAACAAGAAUUUAGAAAUAACAGAUUUACAUUGUUUUAGAACACAAAUUUAGUACUAAUCCCCUAGGCACUAACAGUAUAAAGCUAAACUAGAAUGAUAUGAUGACAGACACAAAAUGGAGAAAGCACUCAAAGAGUAAGUCAGUAAACCUUGAAGCUCUUCUCUGCAUCAUAAUACCCUGAAACGAUCAAGAGGAUGUGAAGCUUCUCUAGUUCUGCAUAUACAAAAGAAAAUGAUUGUCAAGCCAAGCUGUGUUAUCUCUCUACUGUGAAAGUUAUAUUUGACAGAAGAGUUAUAGUAAAAAAAGUUCAAAUUCUCUACCAUCCCAGCACCCAGCCCCCUCAUCCUGGCACACAAGAGAAGAUGAACUCUUCCAGAAUGAUAUGAUGACAAUUAUCGUGUGAUUGGUUACUGACUGAAAUAUUAUGCUUCCAAACUGAAAAAGGGGCAGAAUCAAAUAACUUACGCUGGAAACUUCUUAUGUUUUCAGCUGAAGUAGAGUGAUGUGUUAAGAGCUCUCCUAUAGAUAUUCCAACUGAACUCAUUCCAAUAUUUGAGUUCCCCAUUCUUGAUCCUGUACCACCAGGUUUCCCUGCUUCCAACUCUGAAGGUCAGUCCACAUAAAUAGUACACUAAAAACGUCGUUGAAGUCAUAUCAUGUACAUGAUCUCAAAAUGUAAAACUCUUAGGAAGUUUCUCAAAUUUUCAAGUUAUCUGUAAAUUCUAACCAUAACAUGAUUACAUCAAUUUACUCCACAGAAGUCCGUAGACCAUUUUAUAGUUACUUCCCAGAAGAGUUGCUGCUAUCCAAAUAUUUGUCAAAAAAAAAGGAGAGGAAAAACUGAGUUUGUAGCCAGAUUUAUCCUUGCAUUAGGCAGGAAGUAGUAUCAAGGAGAUGCUAAUUACUUUCUAUAGAAGCGACUCAUAUCAGAAAUAAAUCAUCUAGUUUAAAGUGGCACACAUGGACAAGGCAUCUAUACGACAACAUACCAGUGUAAUCCCACAAGUUGUCAAUGAAAGCUUUAAAUAAAGCAUGGCUUUGAAAUGGAAAGGUUUGUAAUUAGGACAAAGAGAAGUUGGUGACAAUACCUGAUUUUGACCAUCUUUUAAUAUCUUUCCGUAAAACUUCUCCUGUUCUGGGGUCAGCUGCAUCCGAUUUUGGCAAAUUUAUAUUAUCUUUUUGUAAAACUUCUUGCAUUUUGGGCUCAGCUGUAUCUGACUUUGACAACUUCUUGAUAUCUUUUUGUAAAACUUCUUCUGCUCUGUGAUCAGUUUCCUCUGAUUUUGACGAUUUCUUAGUAUCUUUUUGUAACACUUCUCCUACUCCAUGGUCAGCUGCAUCGGAUUUUGAUAAUUUCUUAGUAUCUCUUUGUGAAUUUUCUCGUACUCCGGGGUCAGCUGCAUUGAGUUUUGAUGACUUCUUAGCAUCUCUUUGUAAAACUUCUCCUACUCUGGGGUCAGCUACAUUGAUUUUUGACAAUUUCUUAAUAUCUAUGUCUAAGACUUCUCCAACUCUGGGAUCAGCUGCAUCUGAUUUUGACAAUCUUUUAAUAUCUUUUCGAGAAACCUCUCCUCGUCUGGCAUCAGCUGCAUCAUGCAUUUUGUAUCUCACUGAAAAUGACAAAGUUUUAAUUAGGAUAUGAGUCUGAUCACUUGGAAUUAGAAAUCUAGGAUAGUUACUAAAUAUAAUGACUAUCAAAGCUGCAUAACCUACAGAUUUCAUAAAGACCAUUGCAUCCAAAUCGACCUGCCCCAUUUAUCAAUAAAGUGGUCAUGUACUUAUCCUUUGUUGUAGUCUGUGAGUUUGUCAAAUUUCCAGUAUCCAUGAGGAUACCUGCCAACUGCACAUAUAAUCAGAUUUAUACAGAGAUUAUACAACAGAAAGACAUUAGAACUUGCAUACACAAUGGUAAAUCAAGAUGUUGGAGUUAGUACCAGAAGUCGACUGAACCAUUGACCCACUAGUAUCUCUGGUGAAGUUAGUACAAACUUAUCAGCAAUAAGAGUGCAGCAUGAUGCCUCCUACAAUUAAUAAGUACAUAUAAAAGGUGUCAAGCGAGCUUAUAAGAACAAUCAUUUGGUUCCUUCCUGAAAAUUUGAUAUGCUUUAACACAUGAACCUUAGACUAACUCAACCACAAAAGCUAGCUCAUGAGAUGACAGUACUUUCUCCAACGUCUGCUAACUCCUGCUAUAAUUUCUCUUCUUAUUCUUAAAUUCAUAGGAGCACAAUGAAGUCGAACUUAGUGCUGCUUAGCAAUAUUAAUCUCUGUUAACUAGUUUAAGAGGAAGCUGACAUUUAUUGGUAUGUUGACUUCCUUUCAUAUUUGUAACAGAUUGAGAAAGAUACCUUCCCAAUGGUUACAGCAGCAACUGAAGAAUAAGGUGUAUCUUCCUGCAUAAACAGAAAGAUUAGAUUAUAGCCUCUCUAUUAAACAGAUUUUAUUACUUGACAUGACACAAGCAUAAUGGAGAUGCAAAAACAAGAAACCAAAAUAAAAGUAGACCUCUCUGCAAUUGAAGAUUUCAACCACUGCAUCCUUUAAUGCCUGAUACAGUAAGCAGUAUGUAAUCAUCAGUUAACUCAUUAAUAGGAAUUCAGCACCCUUAAAAAGAAUGCGUACCUCCUGAUUAGCUGGAAGCUUGCUACAAUUGACUAAAACAAGUUGAAGACUCCCAUAUAAUUCAUAGUAGGACAGGUCAAUCUGUUCAAAUAAUAUCAAGUUAUCAAUUUAAUAAGAAAAAAUUAGUUGAUCAUAUUUAGAGUAUAUUCCAUUCCUGGUUUUCAUUUACUAUGUGGACGUAAUUCUAGAGAAUCUAGACUUAAAUUUCAUUUCCUUUCCUAACUUUAUAUAUAGAAUAGAACAUACCUCAUCAACGAAAAUUAAGGAAGAUUCAUCAACAAAGCAAGAAUCAAGUAGCCAUUUGAGCUCAGCAUGAGAAUGAACAUCCGACCUUUUCAUGUUGAUGACAGGCACAGUGCAUAACUUGUCAUCAUUUAAUGUUUCAUUCAAGUAAAAAGCAUACAUUAUGGUUGAAGCAACAGAUCCAACAUCUGCAUCCAGAUGCAAACAAACUUACAAUUAAGCUCAACCAGUGUAAGACUCAAAUUGUCAGAUGGUCGCAGACACACUUCCCCCUGAAAUUGACUGUUCUCUAAAUUAGGAUUUGUUCCUUCUCUACUGCAGUAGAUGAAUAAUGCCACAGGACUAUAUAAGCUUAUCAAUUCUCUUUUUUGUUGUUGAAUUUGCUUCCAAUCUAUGUACUUCUAGUCCUAUAAAGUGGUACUUAAUGAAAGAGAUAAAUUUAAACAAUUUGCAAAAUCUGGAAAACAGCUAGUGCAACUUUCUCAAAACAUAAAGAUGAACAAUCAGAAAUACUAAUGCAUUUACUAAGCAAUAUCUGUACUAAUAAUGAAGCAAACUUGUAAAAUCAAAUGUGAUAUUACUAGGAUCUACUUCUUCAACUUUAGGCUUAGACCAUUUGUUACUUUGUGUCCAGAAGCCUCUUACUCUGUUGGAUUUUGCACUCAUUUUACUAAGUUUGUGUUUUCAGUUGGAGACAUCCUGGAUCCAGAAUAGUAUUCUUUGCCUAGUAUUUGGAUAAAUUUGUUUUCUACCUUGUUUAAAUAGAAUUGAACAUCAAGAAACUGGUCGUAAUAGAAAUUGUGCAUGAUCCAAGGACUUCCAUCUGAGACAUUGUAACAUGUUAAUACGGAGAUUACUGUUAUUUAGACAAUGAAUGGUUCAUGGAUGUUACCACAGCAGUCCGGUCCAAUCACUGCAUGCAAGAAUUGUGAUGGUACUCCUGCACUAACAUAAUCUCUUCUUGCCUUUAGAAAAAUAUUCAGCCUGUGAAUUCCUUGACAUGAUCCAAGAACUUCCAUCUGCGCUGAAUUUCCACAGUAGAACGAUGCUGCAGAUGGAGGAAGUGGAAUAUCGGAGACAGUUCUACUUUUCUUGGUCACAGUGUAAGAUCUUUCAUAGGCAGGCAAAGUCAAGCCACCAGGUGAGUGGUACUCUACAUCAGAUGAUUUUGGACUAGACUGAACUGAAGACUCAUCUACAUCAUGCAGAUCAAUCUUCAGACCAGUCCGCGGGCUUCUCACUGGAGGGGAAUUCAAUUUGGAUGCUGCUGACCACCUUACAGAUAAUGACCGACCAAGAGAUUCAUGUAUACCUUUUGAAGCUGAAUUAGGAGAGUGUCUAUCAUUAUAAACAUCAUUUUCAGAUAAUUUCACAGUAAUUUUUUUCUGUCCCCUGUUACCAACAUCAGAGGCUGACCUCGUUAUAUCAUUUAUAGUGACUUUUCUAAGGAUGUCUAAACCACUUCCUUUGUUAAUGGCUGUUGUUUCACCUCUUCGCAUUCCAUCGAAAUAAGGGUCAUCUCUGGCACGUACACAUUUUGCCUGAAAGUAUAGCAGAAAUAGGUAAUGUAAGUACUAAUGCAGCUAUCGGAGACCACAGACACACACUUAAUCAGGUACAAAUUCAAUAGAGCACUAAACUUUGUUUUCAUCUAUGCUAGAAGUAAUAUCAUGAACUUUUAUUCUGCCUUAAUAGACUAUAACAUAUUGGGACAAAUGAUGCAGUUUAUGGGAACAAAAUCUAAAGCAUGAGCUCCAAGCUCGAGCCAAUGGCGGAGCCAAACUUUUCAUGAAGGGGGUUCAAAUUAUGAAGAAGUAAAUACACGAAAAAAACCAAGAGGAUUCAACAUCUACCGUACACACAUAAAAUAUAUCAUUUUAACCAGGUAUACAAGUGUAAUUUUCCACCGAAUGAACUCCCUUACACCCACGUGGCUCCGCCCCGGGGGCAGCAUCAUAAUUAUUAGUUCCUCUAUCCCAAUGUAAGUGGCAUAGUUGGAAUUUCAAGAUUCAAACAUCAAAACUUUAAUUUUGAGUUCGAACCUAGAAGAUUCAAGUUUUUGAAAUAAAAUUAAAUAUUUGAAAACUAUGUAAAAACUUCUAUGAAUCACAAUAAUUAAUAAUUGAAAAAACAUUUUGAAAAAUCCGGAAAACUUGUCAUACUCUUGGAAUUUCAAUUUGCGUCACAUAAAUUGGGACAAAGGGAGUAAUUUCUAGAGCAGCCAAUGAGUGAACCAUGAGUUUCAGAUAUCUGUUAGGAAAUCAAAUAGAACAUGUAAAAAGGAGAUUCUAAAAGUACAUGAAAAAGGGUCUAAUAAAAAUUGAACUUUGAGCUACAAAAAUGUUAACUUCUCACUUUCUGAAAUUUCGCCAUUGGAGAAGAGAAAAAUGAUUUUGAGAAAGAAGAGAAAUAGUCUGUCAAAGAUAGGUAGAACCAAAGGCAACCCAAAUUUUAUGAAAAAAGAAUUAGAAUGAGACGGUUAAGAGUAAGAAAAAACAGAAAAUAAAGCCAAAAAUAGCAUCUUUGUGGAGUCCGCCAUUGCAGCUGCUGUUAUCAUACAAGACAGUUGAGCCAAAACAAACAAAUCUUGGACAUUUCGUUUAUUAUAAUCUCUUUAACACAUUCUUGAAUGUUUUCGAAAAUAUUCUUUCUACAUUUACACAUCACCCUACUCGGACCCCAUUACACUGAUUUAUGAAAAUAAUUAAGGUCCAAAGAUAACGUUGGAAUUAUAUGUUAUUUCAUCAAGCCAAUUAGUAAAUUGAUAUGAUAGAAAACUUGCAUAAAAGUUCUAGCUUUUUCACCAAGCUUUCUUUAUAUAGAAUAUACUGAAAACUUGAGAUCUGAUCUUUCUACUUCCAUCAAACCAAAAGCAAAAAAUUGGAUACAAAAACAUGAACCAAUUAUCAAUGAUAAGGAAUAUCAUUGAUGUCAACCAUGUUUCCACAGAGACCUUCUAUUUUUUCUCUAAUACAUAUGUGUCAAUACUUGGAUUGAUGGUUACUGAGAUGGUAAGCCCUCUAUCAAAAUUGUACUUCAUCACAAAAAUCUUUAUCUUCUAUUUCUUGUUUAAUGAAAGUGCUAGGCCUCGUAGCUCCUCGAAAGCUUGCAUAGUUUCUGCAUCAAAUCCUCCUGCAAACUGUAACAAUGGAGAUAAAAACUAAACUAAGAUGACAUUCACAACAAUUCAAUGCAGGUGAAUUACCAAUCUAUUCUUCAUCUGUAGUAAAAUCCUGUUAUUCACAACAAGACAGCAUUUACUAAUAUCAGACAAACCUGAUGAAUCCGGAAAGCAAAUCUCACUCCUUGGAGUAGCAUGUAGUCCAUGGAAGUGUCUUUAUCUAAUGGUCCUUUGGACUGAAGCUCCGCAGCUACCCUCUUCAUGUACACCUUAGCCAACUUCACAGAGCCAAACUUUAUCUGCAUAAUUUCUUUUGAAUUAAGUCCCAAUGCAAAAUGACAACUAGAUAUCAAGAAAAAAGGUACUGUAUUUUUUUGCUCAGUAUUCUGCAGAGGAGGACUUGCACAUAUGCAAGAAUGAAACUGGAAAUAGAUGAGCAAUUUCAAUAUUGAAAUGUUGAGAUACUGAAAAUGGCAUGCCAGGAUGUAACAUAAAGAUAAUGUACAAUCUUGAAACUCAUCAUCUGUCUCAUAUCAAUUUCUCAUAUUAUUCGGAUUCCCUUCUGGUGGUGAACUAUAUAACAUGCAUAAUACAGUUCACUAACUUCAUAAAUAAAAGUUUUUUAGGACAAUUUAACAUGUUAGCAUACUGCUUAGUUGUGUACUUCCAGUUCCGGCUAGUUAUAUCUCAUUAGAUACUCAUUGUAUCAUUCAAGCUCUAUUACCAUUUGAAGAUCUAAAUCAAUAGAUUAUUUUCUACUUGGAACAGUCAGAACUGACCUUGCUUAAUAUCCCAUUAUCAAGCAUCCAGUGUGUGGGGAUUUUGAACUCUUUGCAGUGGCGCAUCAAUGAGUCUCGUGUCCGAAGAAGGUUAUAGACACUACGUUCCAUCCUGCAAUGUGAAGAUUAAAUUUGGACAAUUAGGUGAAAGAUUUAACUUUCUUGGCAGAAAGACAAGGAGGUACCAAAUUAUAACACUACUUUACGACAAAGUAAGAGGUCAUACUUCUCUGACAAAGAAAUCAUCUUCUUUAGUGCAAUAUCACAUGGCGAUCGAGGAUCGUCCUUGUAAGUUGAAACUUCAUUCUCCAACUUCUUGAGAUCUCUAUAUCCAAAUGCUGCCUCCCUUAGUGUAUCUGCUUUUCUCUCUGGCCAGUCAAAGUGCUUUAGUACUGCCCUUUCAUCCACCUUCAGAACAGUGCAGGCGCAAUGAUCAAAAUUAACAGUAAAUUACAGACUGAAGCAUCUAUUUAAUGUGAAAUGAAAUAUAGCAGAUAUAGUUCCUCAACAUUUGGUAAAAUUUCCUGAGAACUGCAUUUUGCUACUAAGAAUUCAAUUGAUAAUAAUUACUGAGCUUAAUGUCAUACCAUUACAAUGAACUAGGAUAGAUGCAUGAUUUUUCUUUGAGUUAUUCUUCAUUUUCAUAUGAAUAAUACCAAAAAUUUUAAAAUGAGACAAUAACAAGCUUUUCGUUGCUGUGACAGUAGAUAAAGGCAUUCUUCUCUAUGCUGAUAUACUUCAUUAGAUAAUUAACACAUUGAACUUACCAGAAAGCAAAGUUCAUCAUCUAGCCAUUUCACAAAAGCAACCACGUCCUCGAUGUCUGAAUAAACUGCAUUAUUGACCUCUGCUAUCAGGGAAAUCACAAAUUCUGCUUGAGUUUCAACAUCUGCCCUUAUCUGGAAGUGGGACAAUAAUAUGCAAUCAGGAAUAAAAUUAAGUCCAGAGACUAAAUGAAAAAAUCUGAAACUUCCUUAUUGCUGGACUAGUAAUCAGAAAGGAAAAUCAGGGAAAUCCAGAUACAGUGGAUAUCUCAAGUCCUUGAGUGCAAUUUAGUUGGUCAUUGAUAUGGUUAGUGUGCCUUAUUGGCAAUAAUAGAAAUGAGAAGACUAGAGAGGAAGAACUUACAGCCAGCAAAUAAGAUGAUCUGUUCUCAAUUUCACCGAUCAUGCUACUACGAACGUCUGAAACACUUGACGCAUCACAUACUCCUCCAUUUAAUGAAUCCUUCCUCGAGUCUCUCUUCAUCAGUGAAUGAUAAAAUUCUACAACCUGAGGAGCUCUCUGUACCAUGCCUGAUGUAGUUUUCGCCAUAAGUUUUGGAGGUGGUGGGGGAGGAGGUGGGGGAGGUGGUGGUGGAGGACCAGGAACUUGAACAGAAUUUUCUCCUUCUUCUUCAAUUAAAGCAACAGAUGAAGGCCUUGGAGGGGGAUUAGGAAUCCGCAAGACACGUUUCUCGACCUCCAAAGGAUUGGUUAAUUUAUGUUGGGAAACAAUAGGCUCAAUCUCCUUUUCCACUUCCUUGGAACACAUAAAGACAUCUGAUUGCCUUCUCUUAUUAAAAAUCAAGUCCUCAACACAAAAUUUUGAUCCACUUAUCGAGUGCCUGCGAGUAGAACUUUGUGUAUCCUCCCAACUAUGAUUAAUGAUAUUGUCCGGGCUCCCUACUUGUUGCAUAUCUUCAUCAGUAAUAGGCCACUUCUUUAGCUUCUUAACGAGGCUUAACCUCCUCGCACUACUACAUUUUGAGUCCUCAUCACUAUGAUCAUAAGACAAGCAAAGUGAUUCCCUACUUUUCUCACUACCAUGAGGGCUAGAAGUCUUAUCACAUGUCAUGGACGAGCAGCUGCGCAACUCUUCUCGCAAACAUGAGUUCACCCACUUCAAGUAGGCAAGCUCCUCAACCUCAUUCAACCUACUCAUUUGAAGACCCUCAACUUGUUUGCAAAGGUUUUCAUUUUCAUAUCUCAACAAAGAAGCCUCUGCUUUAAUGUGCUCAAUUGUAUCUCCCUGAUAAGAAUAAAGUGAAACAAGAUAUAAUCAAGCCAGCCAAUUACCAAUGUUAGACAAAUUCAAUUUUUUUCGAUACGACAACAACAACAACAUACCCAGUGUAACCCCACAAGUGAUACGGGUUGAACCACAUUUUUCAGUAUAUCACUUGAAAACAAUUAGAGAAAACUAUGCAUUUUAGGCAUAUACAGCCAAUUAAUUCAUCAAGGUUAUUCAAAUUCGAGAUAUCAAAACUGGGUUUCCAAGAAAAUGCAAACUGGAUAUUCCUAUCUCAUAUUAGUUCAAUAAGACAAAGUAGUAAAGUAAAUACCUCUGGAACUUUUCCAACAAUGGCUAGCUGGGACUCCAUGGAAGACAGCCUGCAAGAUAUAUCUCUUUUCUGAAGCUGGAGCUCCUUAUUCAAGCGCCUCAACUCCACAACCUCCAUUUCCAAACUAGUCACACUUUUGAAAUCUUCCUUAUUGGAAUUCGUAUCUUGUCUCUCUCGAGCAGCAGUCAAUGAACUUAAUUGAUGAGAAAGGACUGCCUUUUCACAUUCCAUCAACUCAACUUUCUUGGCAAAGCUAUUAAUCUCACUCUUCUUCCGUUCGAGUUCCCUCUCGAGCUCAACCACCUUUGGACUCCUCUUAAAUUCAGAUAAUUCAGCCUGCAAUUUCAUUUCCCUCCCCUUUGAUUCUUGUAGCAAGUUCCUCAAAUGAUCAAUUUCAUUGAAUAGAUCACGCGAACCGGAAGAUUUAGUCCUGUGAAUGUUAACUGUUUGAGGAUGAACUUGAGAGGAAACGACUGAACAAGACAAGUCUCCCAUUAGAGACCUCUUCACCCUUGGCUGCGAAAUCCCAGAAGAGUUCUUCU